UCCAUAUGAACCUAUUUAUAUUGCGUACGUGCCACUGAAGAAAAAAAAACUUUAUUUAUAAAUGACGCGGCACCGUUCAUGCAUGGUUCCCGACCCUCCAUUAUUUAUAAGUGAGUAACUACUCGUACUAGACGCGUCAAAUUAUCCCGUCGGCUGCAUCAUUGUACAGAAAUGAGCUCCACCGUGUCACGUGUGUGGUUGGGAAGACGCAAAAGACACAAAGAGUGCUACUAGUACUACGUGCAUGGGUGCGUGCACCUCUUCUCUUCGAGCAUGGUUAUUAAAAGUAUAGCCCACUACUCUACCGCGGUUAUUAUAUGGGCAAAGAGUAUAGGCAAUAGGCAGUAAUAAUGACUAAUAAGCCGUCAAAUCACGAGGCCCAUGAGGGAGUCCUGGACUAAGGGGUCCUCGGGCGUCCGACCUAUUAUGCAUGGGUCGGACUGAUGGGCCGUGAAGAUACGAAGACCGAAGACUUUCUCCCGUGUCCGGAUAGGACUCACCAUGGUGUGGAAGGCAAGCUUGGCGACCAAAUAUGAAGAUUCCUUUCUUUGCAACCGACCUUAUGUAACCCUAGAUCCCUCCGGUGUCUAUAUAAACCGAAGGGCUAGGUCCAUAGAGGCCAAUCAAUCAUCUUAACCAUAGUCUUACAGGCUAGACUUCUAGGGUUUUAGCCAUUACGAUCCCGUAGUAGAUCAACUCUUGUAAUAGUCAUAUUCAUCAAGAUCAAUCAAGCAGGAAGUAGGGUAUUACCUCCAUAGAGAGGGCCCGAACCUUGGUAAACAUUGUGUCCCUUGUCUCCUGUUACCAUCGACCUUAGACGCACAGUUUGAGACCCCCUACCUGAGAUCCGCCGGUUUUGACACCGACAUUGGUGCUUUCAUUGAGAGUUUCGCUGUGACGUCGAAGACAGGGUUGAUGGCCCACCUUGUUGUCAAGGAUAAUAUCACCUCCGGAGGAGCCCUGGCUCCGGGCCAAACCCUCUGACUUGGAGGCUUUACCAUGACUGCCUGUUCGGCCGUUAAGCCGACGAUGACCUCUCAAGUCAUCGAAAAUCGUCUCCGCGUUGACUCUGAAUACUCCAAACGGAUGGAUCCGACGGAGUUGUCGUCUUUAAACAAACUCCUAGAUCGCAUCGCUGCCUUGGGGGUCGCUACAGACUACGAUCGGAUUGGGCUUAAACCUGAUCGGAGAGAAAUCAAAUCUCCGCCGAUCACCCAUCAGAUAGCGGUAGUGGAGGAGCAAGACAAUAACUCUUCCCCUAUAUUGAGGACGAACUAUGUUCGGAUUUCCGAUCUCAAGGGGCCGGAUACCUGUCCGCGGAACAACGCGCCCUGCCCUCCGAACCUAGAAUCGAACGACGGGCCUAAAACGUCAGUUGAUAUCCCGGAGUCUGAACAUUAAGUUUGGAAGAUUUACAAACUCCGGAUCCCAAAUCGGGUCAGGGUUCAGAUUUAAAACCACCCACCCACCCAGCUAUACGCGAUCUUAUGUACAUACGACAGCAGUCUCAGGAAACGGUCCAUCACUUUUGGGCCAGAUUCCUCCUUGUCAAAGACAAGAUUAAAGAUUGCCGCGAUGAAGACGUGAUCUCACUAUUCUGCAACAAUUGCAUGGACGAAGGAAUCCUCAACGCCAUCAACCGCCGUCGCGUAUUACACUUCGCUGACUUGGCAACCAUAGUACAGAAGUACUGCGCAAUGGAAAGCGCCUGGAAAACUCAGGCAGCUCGUUGGGAACCACCGGCUUCAACUCAGCCCCUCGUCCGGCCAAAAAGGAUGCACCCUCGUGGGGCGCCUGACCCAAUAGUAAAGAAAUCAAAGCCCAUUAUGGGGCGCGGAACUGUUCUGGAGGGAUGGCUCGACAGGCCAUGCAAAAUACAUACAACACCGGACACCACACCAACCCAUAGCCUUAGAGCAUGUUGGAUACUCCGGCAAGUGGCCAAGAGCAGCGAAGAUCUCCUCACCAAAAAUACCCCAGAACAACACCCCCCGGAAGAUGACGACCUCAGAGUAUUGACGGCCUUCGAGACUUUUGCUUCAAAAAAUCAGCGCAAAAGGGCACUCCGCGACCUCGCCGAAGUCUGCCAAGUCGCAGCAAUAAACCCCUGGAACGACACGGCCAUAACUUUCAAUGCCGAUGACGAACCAAAAUUCAGGACAGUCCGGGCACCAGCCGCCUUGGUCCUCAGUCCAAUCGUCGACGGCUUCCGGCUCACCAAAGUGCUCAUGGACGGCGGCAGCGGACUAAACCUCAUCUACAAGGACACACUCAUAAAAAUGGAUAUAGAUAGGAGCCGCCUUGAGCAAAGUAGCACAACCUUCCGGGGAAUCAUUCCCAGUAGGGAGGCGCGAUGCGCGGGAAAAAUCACGCUCGACAUGGUAUUCGGCACGCCGGAGAAUUAUCGGUCCGAAGAGAUAACCUUCCAAGUGGCCCCUUUCAACAGCGGAUAUCAUGCCCUACUGGGGCGAGAUGCAUUCACACGCUUCCAAGCUAUACCUCAUUACGGGUACAUGAAGCUCAAGAUGCCCGGGCCCAACGGUACCAUCACUCUUGCUAGUGAUCCGGACAUAGCACUGUGCGCCGAAAAUAAAACCGCAUCCCUGGCCCUUGAGGCAUUGUCUGAAGCCCUCGCGGCCGAAGAGCUGACUGCGCUGCGCUCCACUGUGGAUAGGGAUGACGUAAUCCUGGACAAGCGACCCAAAUCCACCUCCUUUAAACCAGCAGACGAAAUAAUCAAAUUUCAAGUCCACCCGAUGGACCCCAAGAAGACAGCAUCCAUCGGGGCACAACUCGACCCAACGGUCGAUGCCGCGCUACGAGAGUUCCUGCGCGAGAACUGGGACAUAUUCACCUGGCACCCCUCUGAUAUGCCAGGAAUCCCACGCAGGUUGGCCGAACACAGCCUUAAUAUCUUGAAGGGAUAUAAACCAGUCAAGCAAACAUUGGGGCGUUUUUCUGAACCUAAACGACAAGCCAUGGGAGAGGAUCUAGCCAAGUUACUGGAGGCCGGAUUCAUCAGAGAAAUAAAACACCCGGACUGGCUAGCAAACCUGGUGAUGGUACCAAAGAAGGAGAAAUCCUGGCGCUUGUGCGUCGAUUUCAAAGACCUCAACAAGGCCUGCCCUAAGGAUCCCUUCCCCCUCCCUCGCAUUGAUCAGAUUAUUGAUGCGACCGUAGGACACGACUCACUGUGUUUCCUCGAUGUGUACUCCAGAUACCAUCAAAUCAAGAUGAAGGAGUCCGAUCAAGCCGCAACGGCAUUCAUUACCCCAUAUGGGCCUUUCUGCUUCAACACUAUGCCUUUUGGGCUCAAAAACGCUGGCGCCACUUACCAACGCAUGAUUCAAACAUGCUUGGAGAAACAGAUCGGCAAGACAGUUGAAGCAUAUGUGGAUGACGUCAUCAUCAAAACCAGGCACAUCGAGUCAUUGAUAGACGAUCUAUGUCUUACAUUCGACAACCUCCGUACAUAUGACAUCAAGCUCAAUCCGGAAAAGUGUGUUUUUGGCGUCCCCGCCGGAAAACUGCUGGGCUUCAUCGUUUCCAAUAGAGGAAUUGAGGCAAAUCCAACCAAAAUCCGAGCUUUGUCACAAUUGGCUACACCAACAGACCUUAAACAGGUCCAAAAACUUGCGGGAUGCAUGGCAGCUUUAAGCCGCUUUAUCUCUAGAUUGGGAGAAAAAGCAUUGCCACUACCGCCUUCUCCGACGCACCGACCACUUCAAGUGGACGGAUGCGGCAACGGCUGGACUGGAGGAAAUAAAGGCCCUUUUAGCGAGCAACCCAAUCCUGGCCACACCGAACGUCGGCGAACCCAUGUUAUUAUACAUAUCGGCAACACACCAGGUGGUGAGCGCCAUGCUCGUUGUUGAGCGAGAGCGGGACGGGCACGAGUUCCCACUCCAGAAACCGGUAUACUAUGUAUCCACUAUCCUCACACCAUGCAAUCCCGGUACCCCCAUUACCAAAAAAUAGCAUACGCGGUCUUCAUGGCAUCCCGGAAGCUACGACACUACUUUCAAGAGUGCUCAAUCACGGUGGCCUCCGAAGUACCACUCAAUGACAUAAUAAACAACCGCGAUGCGACAGGCCGGAUUGCUAAGUGGGCCAUUGAGCUCCUUCCAUUCGACAUAACAUAAAAACCGCGCCGGGCCAUCAAAUCCCAAGUACUGGCUGACUUUGUCACCGAAUGGACAGAGGCCGAACUCCCUAAAGAGUACGACACAUAUUCCAACUGGGUUAUGUACUUCGAUGGUUCCAAGAUGCUGGCGGGAUUAGGGGCGAGCGUUGUCCUAACGUCCCCCACUGGAGACGUAGUUCAGUACGUACUCCAAAUAUUAUACACAGACUCCAACAAUGCAGCCGAAUAUGAGGCCUUGUUGCAUGGACUUCGGAUGGCUGUCUCCAUGGGCAUACAACACCUGGAAGUGCGCGGGGACUCAAACCUCGCACUAUCUCAAAUAAAUGGAGAUUUCGAUGCCAAAGAUCCGAAAAUGGUAGCUUACCGCAACACCGUUCUUAAAAUCUUGACCCGUUUCGAAGGGCUCGAGUUCCAUCAUGUGGCUCGAGAAACUAAUCAAGCGGCGGACGUCCUUGCUUGCAUCGGCGCCAAGCGCGACCCCGUCCCACCUAACAUCUUUCUAGAAAGGUUUUUCAAGCCGUCCGUGGUAUGGCAAGGGUAGAGCGACAACAACAGUCCGGACGCAACUAUAACCUCAGAUGCCGAACACACCGAUAUCAUCGGGGGCUCAGCCACCGAAAUAACACCGUCGGCCCAUCUCAUAAUGGCAGUCAUUGCCCCAUGGACCGAACCCUUCUUGGCCUACAUUAAUAGGCGAGAACUCCCUGAGGAUCAGAAUGAGGCUCGCCGCAUUGUCCGGCGCUCUAAAGCCUACAAAGUCCACGAUGGGGAAUUCUACAAGAAAAGCGCUACCGGAGUACUCCAAAGAUGUAUCUCCGAGGAAGAGGGGCGGUAGCUCUUGGCUGACAUUCAUGCCGGUCUCGGUGGUCACCACGCCGCGACUUGGGCCCUUGUAAGCAAGGCCUUCCGUACAGGUUUCUAUUGGCCGACGGCCCGAGCAGACGCACAAGACCUUGUCCAACAUUGCGUCGGAUGCCAGCUUUUCGCCAACCAGAGCCAUAUGCCACCCACCGCUCUACAAACAAUCCGCAUCACUUGGCCUUUCGCGGUCUGGGGGCUUGAUAUGGUUGGACCCCUUAAAGGAGGAAACCAUAAGAAAAAAUAUCUGCUGGUCAUGGUGGAUAAAUUCACUAAGUGGAUAGAGGCCAAACCAGUUAAAACGGCUGAGUCCGGACCAGUGAUAGACUUUAUAUCCGGCAUUGUACACCGCUAUGGUGUCCCACACAACAUCAUCACCGAUAAUGACUCUAAUUUCACAGACGAUGAGGUGAAAAACUGGUGCGCCAAUCUGGGCAUUAAGCUCGAUUACGCCUCCGUCUAUCACCCGCAAACAAACGGUCAAGUCGAACGAGCCAAUGGUCUUAUUAUGAGCGGCAUCAAGCCUAGACUGGUGCGGUCUUUGAAAGAAUCAGACAAGCACUGGGUUGAGGAGCUCGACUCCGUACUCUAGGGGCUGCGGACCACGCCCAAUCGCACUACCGGAUAUACACCCUUCUUCAUGGUGUACGGCGUAGAGGCUGUGUUACCCUGCGACAUUAUUCAUGACUCACCUCGAGUGCGCAUGUACGAAGAGAGAGAGGCCGAGCUUGAUCGGCAGGACAGCUUAGAUGCCCUGGAGGAGGAGCGCGAUGUUGCAAAAGCCCGUUCCGCAUUUUAUCAACAGCAGGCUCGCAGGUACCAAAGCAGAGAAGUGCGGGCCAAGACUUAUAAUGUUGGCGAACUUGUUCUACGCCUGCCGGAGAAGAAAAAGGACAAACUCAAGCCCAAGUGGGAGGGUCCCUUCAUCAUUGACAAAGUUCUCACCGGAGGAGCGUACCGCCUGCGUGAUGUGUCAGACAAUCGCCUAGAGCUGAACCCCUGGAACGCGGCCAGACUCCGAAGAUUCUAUGCCUAGCGCCGGACUCUUUGUUCGUCUCCUUCUCCCUAUUGUUUCCAUUACUUUUGCCUCUCUUUUCUCUUUUUCCUUUCUUAGCCUUAAAGUUUUCCAUGCGGCUAAACCGUGCGCUUGUGAUAUACAAAUAGUCAAUUAUACCUGGGGGCUUCUUUGACAGAAGCUUAUUAUUGUUAUUUUUCGAGCAUCAAGCUCAUCACAUAUGCGCGUGUUCCCCAUAUGUACCUUUUCUUCGCCAUUAUAUGCAUCGAUGUGACUUAAGUUUUGGGCAAGCUGGGUUGCCUGGCUCCUGUGCUUAUGCCCUACGUUCCCGUUAGUUCAGCUAGGGCAUAAAGGGAGCACCUCUGCGAUUGUUACUGCCGGGUCAUCCGGAUGUGUACCUCAGACCGGGUGAAGCCGAAAGCUAGCGUUCUUAAGGGAAUAUUCGGUCGGCGAACUAAAGAUGUUUUUACAGUCAUUAAAAUAUGAACCCCCAGAUGUUGAAUAUACUGCGAUUUUUUCAAUCACAGUUCGGACGUGCACAUUAACACAUGUAUACCCAGGGAAAGGAACCCUUAACGGAACUAUUCUCUCUGGAAGAUGUUUCUUACAAUCACAAUGUAAUAUAACAUAGCUAGCUGAAUACAACUUGUCUGUUCAAGCAAUUAUGACCCCUACGCCUGGUUUCCACGCAUACCCCGGUAUAUUUUGCCGCCCAAGUAUUCGGAAACACUCUGCACCUUCGGGUCCAGAGGUCGAAGCGAAAAGGUCUGCCAUGACGAUCGCUUUAUAGUCCGGCUAGGGACAAAUAAGUCAAGGAAAGUACAUAGUCACUUGGACUCAUAAAUUUCCUCCUCUAUACUGCCUAACAAGCUGUCUAACUUACAAUCCUGUUGGGAAUAUCUGGCAGCUACUUCUACUUGGUCAUAUACUAAAUUCACGGGAAUUUCUUUCCCAUCUAACCCUAGAGGUCCGACCCGGGCCAUAUGAUUUGGAUCAAGCUUGGUAUACCGUGUUUUUACCAUGGCCCAGGCUUCUCGCGCACCUUCCUGGCAGGCCGAUAUCUUCCAUAAUCAGAAGCGCCGCCGCGCUCCCUUGAAUAGCUCUAUAAGCUCCUCCAUCCUUCCUGGAGGGGAGGCGGAUGGCCAUAAAGCCUUGGCAACACUUCGCAUCGCCUGCCGAGCUUGCUCGUGCAUUUGCGACAGCUCUUGUAGCAGAUCGCCCGAGACUCCGGACAUCUCCUCUUCGGGACGGCCGGUCAGCAUACCUACAGAUAUAAUUCUGUCAGUCCCUUUACUCUCCGAACUACACGGAGUUAAGUGCGACCACAUACCAAAUAUGCCGCCGCGUAGCCUCUUAUUUUCCUUUACGUAAUCAGCCAGCUGGGCCCGUACAUCUUUCAGUUCUUCGCCCAGCUGGGUGUGGGCAUCCUGCAGCUUGUUUUUCUCAUCUCUGACUCGUGUCAGCACACGUUCGCCCGCGGCCAGCAGUCUUUUGGCUUCUUGUUCUUCCGCUUGGGCGGCUUUCAGUUGCUCCUUCAGUUGAUCUGACGAUCCUGCCAUAAGAUGGGCAACAGUGUUAGCAUUACCGGUAUACAAUUAUGCUUUCUCGAUGGAGGGGAACAUUACCAGGUGAUGCCUUCUUGGAUUUCUCCAGUUCGGCGGUAGCAGCAGUUAGCUGGGUCCGGCACUUUUCCAGUUCCUGAGACAACAGGUCGUUAUUCUCCGACAACACCUGGUUAUACAAUGAUCCUUAAAUCAGUUGUAUCAACUACUUCAAGUCUCAGGGGCUACUGGUAUAUAAUUAUCUGUUUUGUAUAAUAAACUUACCCGCAUAUCUUUUAUACGUUGGUCUGUGGCUCUGGCAAGCCCGUCUCGAGCAGCUUGGCUAUAUGCAUCAGCCGAGCUGAAGGCAUUGAAUGCCUCGUUUGUAAAGCCGGGGUCGCAUAGAAUGGCUCUUCGGCGCCGAUGAUUCAUGGCGCUCUCCACUUCUGAGUUUGUGACGGAUACAUCAUCCGACUCCUCCGCCGAAGGUUCCGGCGUCACUCCCGCAUCAGCCCUUGCCUUUAAAGCAGGGUCGGGAACCUGACUCGUGGAGGCGCGGCCGGCGGGAUCCCCGGACAUAGUCCAGCGAACGCUUUUCCUGAUAAAACACAGCAGAUAAUGUCACAGUUGGAUGUGACUGCCAAGGGGCAUAUUCACAAAUCAAUACCUCUUCGAUGAAGGCUCAACCGCGUCUUCGUUAGCCUUCCUCUUCGAAGGCUUGCCCGGUGUAGGGGCCGCUCUCUUUGGAGUCGCCUCUUGGGUAUCAUGGCGUGCCGAACGCCUCCCCUUUUGAGCAAGAGACAAUGCGGUGGGUGAGGCAGAACGAGGGAACUCUUUCGGAGGAGAUGUCUCCUGAUUACUUACGUGUGAAGCAGGGAGAAGACCGGGGUAAUCGGCGGUGAUGGCCACUUUCGUGCCGUCAUAACUCGCCUGGUAAAACACUCCGUCCUCGAGCACCACGAAUAUAUCCGGAUCCUCUUCAAAUCCGGGGUCAAGGUCCCGGUUGUGGCCCUCUGGCUGCGGGGCGGGGCUGUGAAGCCCCUCGGAGAUCUUUCGCCAGUGCUGUUAUAAAUGUACGGAUUAAUAUUCAUUGAAAGUGGCUCAUGGAGUGGAGUGAGUAAAGCAGAGGGGUUGGGCCUUACCCAGCUAGGAGGAUUGUACAUGGAAAAACCAUCUCUGCGCUUGAUACGAAGAAAUUCCUCCUCCUCCCCUUUGAACAGCUCGGCCAAUAUUUUGGCCAGAUCGGCGGGGGUGUCCGGACCCUUCCGGCCACAGCGGGAGGCGUCAUCCUCCCCAUUGUAGUGCCACAUGGGAAUCCCUCUGUAUUGGAGUGGCUGAACCCCCCAUACUAUGGAAGUCGCCAUUACCUCGACUAUUGAUAAUCCGGGCAAGCGUCUUUAUCUUGCUCAUAACUUGACGAACUUCCGCACUAUCUUCCUCCUCGAGGCUUCGAGGGCGCCAACUGUGGCGUUUCUUCAAAGGAACGCUUGUGAACUCGGGAAGACCCCUCCAAACUGGGUCAGGAAGUGCGAAGUCCUCGAUAUAGAACCAUUCGGAAGGCCAUUCUUCAGAUGCUUUCUUCGGUGUGCCGGACAGGUAUCCGGUCUCGGCGAUGCGCCAUACCUUGGCUCCGCCCACUUCAAAUAUGGAUCCCUCGUAGUUAUGCGGGACGAGACAGAAGAGCUUUCUCCACAAUUCAAAAUGGGCCUCACACCCCAGGAACAGCUCACAAAGGGCCACGUAACCCGCGAUGUGCGGGAUGGAUGCGGGACUGAAGUUGUGCAGUUGGAGGCCAUAAUACUCCAGAAGCCCUCGGAGGAACAGAUGAAUUGGAAAUCCGACACCUCUUAGCAGAUAAGGGACGAAGCACACUCGCUCCCCCCUAGAUGGGUUGGGUUCUCCGACUGGGCCUUGUCAUUGAAGGAGGUCAACCCUGCCCGAACAGGGACCAGAUCCGCGGGGGGAAGAAAUCCCUGUGUUUGCAGCUUCACUAGCUGACCGUGGGAUACGAAACAUUUCUCCCAAUCGCCUUUUUCUGGGAUGCAGGGACGGGAGGAAGAGCUGGGAGUGCUAGCCAUGUGGGAGUGGCUUUUCCUAGCAAGCUCUGAGGAUUUUUCCGCGUGGUGCUGAAUGGAUCUGAGAUCCAAUCUCUUUAAAUAGACAUUCCUCCUUGCAUGGCCGGGGUGUUAUGUGUAAACACACCCUGACCUCACGCAUUCGCUCGACACGUGGAAGCUGGAAUUGUUGAUGUGCAGAAGCCAAGGGGUACGACAUUAAAUGGAAGGCUGAAUACAUCACUUUGAAGUCAUCGGAGGAAGAACCCGCCUUGCAAUGCCGAAGACAAUCUGCGUGCCGGACACCUCAUCAUUGAAGCCUGGUUCGGGGGCUACUGAGGGAGUCCUGGACUAAGGGGUCCUCGGGCGUCCGACCUGUUAUGCAUGGGCCAGACUGAUGGGCCGUGAAGAUACGAAGACCGAAGACUUUCUCCCGUGUUCGGAUAGGACUCACCUUGGCGUGGAAGGCAAGCUUGGCGACCAAAUAUGAAGAUUCCUUUCUUUGCAACCAACCUUAUGUAACCCUAGAUCCCUCCGGUGUCUAUAUAAACCGAAGGGCUAGGUCCGUAGAGGCCAAUCAAUCAUCUUAACCAUAGUCUUACAGGCUAGACUUCUAGGGUUUUAGCCAUUACGAUCUCGUGGUAGAUCAACUCUUGUAAUACAUUCAUCAAGAUCAAUCAAGCAGGAAGUAGGGUAUUACCUCCAUAGAGAGGGCCCGAACCUGGGUAAACAUUGUGUCCCCUGUCUCCUGUUACCAUCGACCUUAGACGCAUAGUUCGGGACCCCCUACCCGAGAUCCGCCGGUUUUGACACCGACAGCCCACCUUUCUCUAUGUUUGACCGAGGAAGCAGCCAUCAUUUCACUCCUCGUUGAAUAUCCACCCGCUGCUACCUCCGCAAAUAAAUAAAAAUCUGCUUCUACCUCCGUAACAUGGUUAAUAAUAUAGCCAUGUCCAUCACGACAUAGAAAUAUCAUUCACUGAUACAAUAGGGCUGGCUCUAAGGCUGGUGAUUUUUUUUACUUUGUCUCUUUCUCUUUUUGUCACACGUGCUCAUUUUACAUAGGAGCACGUGUAGAGGAUGGCUAUUCCUUUCGAUGGGACUUCUUCAUGGGGUUUAAGACUAAGCAUCUCCGAAUUAUGCCCGCUACCCACCACUCUGAAUUGUGCCAUCUAUGAUAGUACUCCCAUUGCAACAAUGAGGUCCACUAGGUCUAGCACGUCCUGUAAGAAGAGACUGUCACGCAAAACAUACAUCUUGUUGCCUUCUUCCUCAUACAGUACGUACCACUAGUAUGUACUACUAGUACUACUACUGCUCGUUCUCCUAUAAUCCUUGCUCUUGGCAUCUCAAAAAUAUUAACCUUGCGCUUGGCUCUUCGCCUCUUCGAGAAGUCAAGCAAUAAUGGUACUACAGUAUAUCGUUCUGGCUAUUUGAGACCGAACGAAUUGCUGCACAUCCACCACGUGGGCGAGGGUUGAGCGAGGGCCGAGGGGAAAGGGAGAGUGCGUACUAGUACGUCCGUUUCAAUAUGGACUACAUACGGAGCAAAAUCAGUGAAUCUACACUCUAAAAUAUGUCUAUAUACAUUAGUGUUUGGAGUAUGUACUAGUAGUUCAUAUUAAAAUCUACUAAAAGACAUAUAUUUCAAACAAUAUGAUAAUCUCUCUAACCAAGGUAGGGACGAGGAGUAACGGAGGGAGUAGUAAAAUUUUCUCCUCGUCCUGCGAGCCACCGCGCGCGUGGGCGAGGGAGCGGGCGUAGGCGUAGUAAGCAAGCUUCUCCUCGUCCUGCGACUCUGUGAGCCACCGCGCCCGUGGGCAGGGGAGACGACGUACUAAGCAAGCUUCUCCUCGUUCUGCGAGGUGCCGGGACACAUCAAAAGUAACACGUACAGAGCAUCUCCAGUGUAUAGAGCGUUGCCUCUAACGUAGGCCCCACAUGGUUUGCCUCUUUAUUUAACAUAACACGUCAAUCGCAAUUUGUUUGUUCACCCGUGGUACACGAUCCUCCAUCAAGUGGACAACCAGUACACAUGUCAAAUUACCAUGUGGGCUGCCUUUUCGUACAGAAAUGAGCUCCACCGUGUACCCGCACGGGUGUGGUUGGGAAAGAGACGGGAGUAUGUGCAUCGUGCGUGCACCUCUUCUCUUCGUGCACGUCCCCCACCUACGUGGGUGUGUGUGAGAGAGAUACAAACCUAGACAGAUGGCGUGUGCGUUCGUGAGUGUUUUUUGUUGGGGGAGUGAUUUCGUGAGUGUAUUUGUGGGAAUAUGUGUCGAUGAUAUCUCAAACAAAAAUUUGACACAUGCAAUGUGUGUGAAAUGGAGGCCUAUCUAUAUCAUAUAUAGAGGGGGCAAUCGACGAGAAGAGAGGGAGGGGUCAUAGAUAUUGAGUCGAAGAGAGGAUCAAGUGGGUGGGUGCGAGAUCGAUGAAGAGAGCCAUCGAAAUUGUGUGUGUGCAAGUCAAAGAUAUUGGGCGACAGACCUAGUGGAACGUCAGAGGGCACAAGGCAAGUUUGUGUGUGGCAGGGAGACAUGACUGGAGCGCUCGAUGUAUCGGUGUGUGUGGGGGGAGGGGGAGGCAGAGACCUAACUAGAGAGGUAGAUCGACUCGUAUAUGUGUUGAGAAAGAGAGACCCGGCUAUGUCUUGAGGGAGAUUGGUCGACAUCCAUACAUAAGUGAAGGACGGGAAAUAGGUUGGGACAGAGAGAGAGAGAGAGAGGAGAGAGAGAGGGAGAGGGUAGAGUGUUGGAUGGGUGGUGGAGUUGCUUCUCGAAGAUGGUGGGAGAGGCCUACUAGACAAACUGAGGGUAGAACUGCAAUAUUAUCAAUAAGAGUGGGGAUGUGUUUCUGUGUGUGCGUGUGCGUGAUAGAUUUGUCGGGAGGCAUGCAUGGAUGAUGAAGGGGGGCCAUGUGUUUGGUAAGCAGACCUAACUAGAUCGGUAGAUCAAUUGUUGUGUGUCGGAGGAAGGGAGAGACAUAACUAAUGAGGUAGAUCGAUCGGCGCGUGGGGAAAGCGAGUUAUAACGACCUAGCUAGCUAUAUGUAUAACGGGAGAUCGGUUGGUGUACAUCCAUUUGUUAGAGGCACAUAAGGCCUAGCGAGACGGAUAGACAGAGAGAAUGGAGCUAGGAGGUGGUGCGAGAGGCCUACUAGCUAGAUAGGGGGAGGAGUGUGCGAUUGUGAGAUCGAUGAAAAGAGGGGCGAGAGUUUACACGUGUGUGGGACCGUAUGAGAGACACGAGGCAAGGAUACAGAAAGGAGGAGAUGGAAGGUGCGUGUGUAUGUGGUAGGCAGACAUCGCUAGAGAGGUUUAUCGAUCGGUGUGUGUCGAAAAGGAGUUGUGGAGACCGUGGGAGAACGACCUAAAGAAAAAAAUGAAUGUGCGCGAUGGAUAGAAUGCUGAGGGAGGGGGAGGGCGUGUGCAUGCACGAGAGAAAAUUAGUGCUAGCUACAAAGGUUAGAGGAUUGUGUGGGUGUAAGAGACUAAACAAAGAUCAUAAUUCGAUAUGAAAGUGGAUUCAUAUAUUUGAAUAGGAGGUCAUAGUGUUAUAAACAUAUGCAUGCAUGAAUAUAGCGGUGAUACGCAUGGUGUGGUUUUGGACAUGUUAUACCAUAAUGUGAUAAUGUGUGGCAUUUGCAACUCAUAGCUAAAUAUCGAACAAUCUAAACCAUACUAUACAUCGAACAAUCUCACACUUAAUUUGAAUUUGUGAUAAUGUGUGGCGUUUGCAGCUCACAACUAAACCAUACUAUAUAUCGAACAAUCUCACAUUUUAUUUGAAUUUGUGAUAAUGUGUGGUGUUUGCAACUCACAUCUAAAUACUUGUAGGCAUAGGGGGCGGGGCACCAUACAUUAUGUGAUAAACACAUUAUACAUAUGAGACAUGGUUUAGAUUAUGAAGAUCUGGCUAGAGCUUGAAAUGUACUAUGAUUUGAAAACAACAUAAAGUGGAUUCAAAAAAUUGAGUUCGAGUUCAUAUAGUACACAUAGUUCAUAUCUAACUCGACAGUAAUCAUGUGGUGUGCUGUGAAAAUAAUAUACAAACGAUGGUUUAACUUGACAAUAAUGAUGAUUGUAGAUCUUAUUAAAAUAGAGAAACGAAUUCAAAUGGUUUAACUUGAUAACAAUCAUGAUUGUAGAUCUUAUUCAAAUAGAGAAACGAGUUCAAAUUUAGUUCAUAUUGAAGCGGUAGUAUAUACGUUUGGAAUGCACUAAAAUGUUCAUUUGAGUAACAGGUUGCAUGCAUUAUACACGUAGCAAAAUAUUUUAAUUGAACAUAACAUGUAUUCAAAGUUUUGAAUGACAUUUGUAGUGCGAAUUGAUUUGGUGCAGUACACGGGACUAGACUCUCUUGUGUGGUGCGAAUUGAUUUCUUUUUGUUUUUUCGUCGAGGGAAGUGCGAAUUGAUUUGGUACAAAACACGUUAGGCUUGUCUGGAAAUUUCAACCCGGGCCUUGUUACCCUGAAAUAUUUAAGAUAUAUCUUUGUCUCGUUGUGCUCCGAAAACUCCCUCCAUCUCAACCCGCGCCUUGCUAUCCCAAAAUUACAACGUGCGCGAAAACUCCCACCUUCUGCGAAAUCCCGAUACGCGAAAUGCCCGUGAUACCCCUGGAUCAAAAGAACCGCCUAGCUCAAAUAGGUGGGGGUACUUUCGUAACAUACCCCAUGUUUUGGAAAAGCGCGUCCCUAAGACAUGGUUCCCCCUCCCAUCCCAUCCACCCACUCAUUCGUACACCGAGCCCGUCAAAACCCGCGAAGCCCCACAGCCUCCUCCGUCCGCCACCCAACCGGAGCCUCUUCCCCGAUGAUGUCGUCCACAGCAAUACCUCGACGUCCCUCAUCCACCACACCAGAUGAGGAUUCGUCGUUCGUCUCGCCGUCCCGCCAGUUCAGCCAUCCCGUCCUCCACCUCCAAGGAGCUGCCCCGACGUUCCCCUCGUCUUUCGCGCCACCUCCAUUCCCACACCGCCGUCUUCACCUGCACCACCGGAAGAGCAUCAUCAUCACCGAUUCCUCGGAUGAAGCUGAGGCCUAAUCAGCGCCACCAAAGAGGUUCUACACUAAUUGCCGCAUUUUCUUCUUGAUUCGAUCUCACGGUGCUGCCGACGCUCGGUCCCGAGCCGACAUGGCGCGCCUCCAUGCACGGCAGCGUCGCCGGCCACUUCCUCCACGGCAUCGCUCCCUCGGCGGUGACGUCCACAUCAGUAGGUGCUGCUGCUGCUUUAGCUCUCGCUCGCGCUACUGCUCUACUCUUGCUCUCGGUCCCCUGCCUGGUCUGCUCUUGCUCUUGCUCGCGCUGCUGCUCUCGCUCUUGCUCUUGCUUGCACUGCUGCUCUCGCUCUUGCUCUUGCCUGUGCUGCUGCUCUACUCUUGCGCGCGUUGCUGCUGCACGAGCAGUAGAUCCUGCUCUCCCUCGAGCCGCUGCAGCUGCUACCCGAGAUGCUGCUACACGACCAGCUGCCCCGGCUCUCACACACGUUGCUGCUCCGGGCGCGGCUGCUGCUGCUACUGCUUUUCUGCUACUAGUGCGUUCUGUUUCGAUGGUAAAAUUCAGUUUCGACAGCAAAAUUCAGUUUCGACAGUUAAAUUCAGUUUCGACAGUUAAGUUCAUAGAUGAGCGGCUGAUGUAUUUUACAUCUAGAACUUUGUGGUUAUGUAUUUUACAUCAUCUAUUGGAGAUGCUAUUAGAAUUCCACUCGGCUUAAUAUUGUCUCUCUUGUCCUGCUUCAGCCUCGCCAUCGUACAACUCACCGAAGUUGCUCCAACGACGAAACCAUCCAUCACAGCGGAGCAGUACCCCAGGCUCCAUCUCCAAAUGCCUAAGAUCUUCUUCCCCUCCUCCGACAGCCAAAUCAGCUGGAGCAUCCUCACCGACCAACCCAAUCACGCUGAGAUCGACAUGGCUUCGCCAAAGAGGUUGUACACUUGUUGCAUCGCUUUUUUACUCUACAUGUUAUAUAUAUUGUCCACUGAGCACACGUAGUAACGAUUAGUUUUUCCUACUAUAUGACAAGCAGUGAGGUACCAGGCAACUUAGCUAUCCGUGAUGGACUCUCUUUAAUGCCAUCAUUAUUUAUUUCUACGCAUUUGAGCUGUGCAGUUGUAGAUGGGCCUGGGAGUUGAGCUAGUAGGGCAGUGGCCUGGGUCUAAAGUAGUAGAAGUAGCACAAAAACAGUGUAGGCUUUUCCCUGCUCAAGCCCGCCUACUAGAAUCGCCAGUGCUUGAAAGGAAAAGUGAAGGAAAAACAUAGGAAUUGGAAAGUUUCCUAUGGUACUACUAUUCAUGCAUUUGGUUCAAAGGAAUGGAGCAAAGGAAAACUGUAGGAUUUGUUCCUUUAUUGUCUCCUUGAAAGAAAAACCGUAGAAAUUUUAAUAUCCACUUGUCCUCCUUUUCAAAUUCCUAUUCAUGAAGCACAAGACUAAGAGAUAGUAGCAUAAUAGCAUUAUAACCAUACAUUUUCUUGUGGUUUAACUUAAUCUCACCAUGCUUCUUUGCAUCCUGUGAUAUUCCAAUUCUUGUGAACCAAACACCCAGAUUGACAAAAAUCCUAUGUUUUUUAAUUCUCUGUUUUGCAUGUGCAUUCCUAUCCUAUUCUCGCGUAUUUCCUAUCCCUGCAUUGUUAGAAUCCUCAAAUUCAAACAAGCCCUUACACAAUUACUUCUGUUAUAGAUAUGUGUCAAAGAAAACCUUGUGUGGUUUGUCCCGCUCCUGCUGCGUCGUCGUCCACCCCACACUACAGGCAUCAGCUACUUUGCCGUCUGCCAUGGCAGACGGCAAAGGCCUUUGUCGUGUGCCGCGGACGGCAAAAGGCUCCGGCAAAGUAGGCUCCGGUAAAGAGCUUCUUUGCCGUCUGCUUUCUGAAGCGGACGGCAAAGGGGCCUUUGCCAUCAGCGGCUGACGACAAAGAAAGCCGACGGCAAUAAAUGUGCUGUUAGUCCGUUAGGCGGCUAACGGCAGCCUUUGCCGUCCGCCGCUGACAGCAAAGAGCAUCUGGCCUUUGCCGUCUGCCACUAUAGGCAAAGUGCUCAAACAUGCCAGUCCCAGGAAGCACAGGUAGCUGCCACGUGGCAUGUUUGCCGUCAGCUAGCUGACGGCAAAGAGCCUGUACAGCCCUGUUUUUAAUUUAAUUCAUUCAAUUUGACAGCAAUUCAUAGAUAUACAGAGAUAUACACAGCAAUUCAUAUAUAUACACAACAAGCAUAUCCAACACACAAGUUUCAUCAUAUAUACAUACAUAACCAACACAUAUAUAGUUCCAUCCUUACAUAUUACAAAAGUUUCACAUUGUUCAUCCUACACCGUUAUCCAUCCAUCCAUAUAACAAGUUCCAACCAUGCAAGUUCAUUGAUACAAAAUAAAAGCACAAAUGGAAAAGAAGCUCUCCAUCGAUGCAAGCUUCCGUGAAUUAAAUCAAAUCUGCAAAAUGAUAAACAAGAUGUUAGAAAAAGAAGAAGAAAAUGAAGAAGAAGAAGAAGAAGAAGAAGAAGACUAUAAGAAAUAAGCAUACUUAAGUAAAAUGGAGCUAACCUAGAAGAAAAUGAAGAAGAAGAAGAAGAAGAAGAAGACUAGAAGAAUACUAGAAGAAGACUAGAAUAAUAAUAAUAAUAAUAAUAAUAAUAAUAAUAAUAAUAAUAAGAAGAAGAAGAAGAAGAAGAAGAAGAAGACUAUAAUUAAGCUUAUUAUGUAAACUUGGUCAUUUUGUGCUAACAUAAGUAAUUUUGGAGUUAACCUAUAGGAAACUAAGCAUAUUAGAGAUAACUUAGCAUAUUAGAGCCAACUUAGGUAAAAUGGAGCCAACCUAGCUAAUUAUGCCAUCUUUGAGUGAACUAAGCAUAUUAGAGCUAACUUAUGUCAUUUUGGAGAAGANNNNNNNNNNNNNNNNNNNNNNNNNNNNNNNNNNNNNNNNNNNNNNNNNNNNNNNNNNNNNNNNNNNNNNNNNNNNNNNNNNNNNNNNNNNNNNNNAAGAAGAAGAAGAAGAAGAAGAAGAAGACUAUAAUUAAGCUUAUUAUAUAAACUUGGUCAUUUUGUGCUAACAUAAGUAAUUUUGGAGUUAACCUAUAGGAAACUAAGCAUAUUAGAGAUAACUUAGCAUAUUAGAGCCAACUUAGGUAAAAUGGAGCCAACCUAGCUAAUUAUGCCAUCUUUGAGUGAACUAAGCAUAUUAGAGCUAACUUAUGUCAUUUUGGAAGAAGAAGAAGAAGAAGAAGACUAUAAGCUUAUUAUGUAAACUUGGUCAUUUUGUGCUAACAUAAGUAAUUUUGGAGCUAACCUAUAGGAAACUAAGCAUAGUAGAGAUAACUUAGCAUAUUAGAGCUAACAUAUGUAACUAAGCAUAUAGAGCUAACAUAGGUAACUAAGCAUAUUAGAGCUAACUAUAUAUAGAUCAUUUUGGAGAUCUGACAUACCUGACAUAGUUCGGUUCUCAUUGUUCUUCUCCUUCUCCUUCCUCAGCCUGAUGCGCCAAGAGCGGCGAGGCGGUGGAGGCAGUGGGAUGUAGUCUUCUACCACAAUUGGCGUGGUCAUGUCACCCAGCUGUGGGAUCGCCGGCGCCACCACCGGCGCGAGGUCAUUGUCAGGCACCACCACCAUCGCGAGGCCAUCUUCAGGAAGGACAGGCAUGACCAUCGCUAGGUCAUCCUCAGCCACCACCAUCUCUUGCCCAUGGUGCGCCACCACCAUUUCCUGCCCUUGGUCGGCCACCACCAUCGCUAGCUCAUCCUCAGCCUGAUGCCCACUCUGCUCCUCUUCUUCCCCACUCCAGUCCGGAUCAUCCUCCUCGCUGUCUUUGUUGCAGCCCGAAUCGAUGCUGCUUUUGCUACAGCCAGAAUCGCUGCUGCUUUUGCUACAGCCAGAAUCGCUGCUGCUUUGGCUGUAGCCAGUGUCGCUGCUGCUGCUCCCAUUGCCUGUCCAAAUGCAACAAUUAAUGACCGUUAACAAUCGAUGCGAGACAAAGCCAAAUGUAGAGGAAUAAGAAGAGGCAGAAUGUACCGGCAUCAUCAUCGUCAGCGUAGCACAUGCGACACAUAAUCGCGUUGAACACCUUCACGAUGAGCAUGGUGGCGUCGUCGUCGUACCUGAAGAGAAGGAAGUACCCCAGCCGCAGGUUGUAGGCAUGGUAGAACUUCUCCCAGCCAUGACACAGGUACAUGUGGCCCUCCUUGAUCACCAACUCCACGUCCCACAGCAUGCGAAACCCGCUGCCGGCCUGUCGCAGCUUCACAUUAUUUGGCGGAUCUUCACCCAGCAUGUUCAUAAAAGUGUCAGGCAGCCUCUGCAGUUUGGGACAAGGAGUGAUGUAGCAAACAACAGAGUUAUCAUAAUGAGAUGGGUGAAGGGGAGAUCUCUCCUUCUAUAUACCUGCCUCUUGGAGGAAGUCCCAAGUAUGAUACUGAAGAACUCGAAAGCAUUCAACUCGUACUUCGGUGUGGCAGAGCGGAGCCUGCGGUGACAGCCUCCCCCCAUCUCUAAUAAGCAGCAGAAGAGACCAAUUAGUAUCUAGCUAGAAGCAUAUCUAUAAACAUAGAGCCAAGUUUCUAGACAUGAAAGAAAACUGAGAAAAAAAAAGCAAUGCACUUGUCCUCAACAACAUCAACAACACUUAGUUAAUUUGGUAGGUUAGUUGGCAAUGGCAAUUGGCACCCUUCAAAACUAGGGAUUUCUUUAAACGUGAAAGAAAACUGAAAAUGUUGAAAAAAAGAGCAUAAUAAUCUAAAAAUAGGGGAAAAUACACUUCUUCUUUCUCCUCUUUAUCUUCUUCUUUUUUUCAUCUUUCUUCUUUCUUCUUAACCAAAACUAAACCUAAAGUUCCUUCUGGUGUGAUCACAUUGGAAUACUUGUGGCAACAAAUCAUAGUUGCACCAUAUUUUAGGUGGCUCUAGGUGCCACACACCAAGCAAACAAACAAACCUCAAAUCAGAAACUAAGGGUGUAGUGUCGUAAAAUCAAUUUACUUUGUAUGCAAAUCAGAAUGUAUAGUUUGCCUUUCCGCAAAAAAGAAAAGGAAAAGACGGGUAUAGUUUGCCUCUUAUGACAGAUUCCAUAAGCAAUAUGCAUGCCUUGUUGUUUUCUCAAAUUAAACUAAUUCGAGUGUUGCUCAUUGAUUAAUUUGAAUAUAUGCAAAGGAAUUUGAGGAAAGCUUUUGCUCUUCUCACUAUUAGUUUCAUAAUCUUUUAUACAACCCCUUCAAGGAGUCUGUGGAUAACUUUCGUUUACAGUUCACUAGAUAUGUGUAUUACAUUUUCUAUUGGAAAUGCAUUUGAAUUCAUUUAUCACAAAUACUAAUUCUAAAGUUUAACUCUGAUGAUACGGUUGCCACGUACCUACCAAGACAUGCCAAUUUUUUUCUUGUAUAUAAAAGAACUCGUGCACUAAUAUUUACUUCACUGAAAGAUUUUUCACUUUGAAGGGAAAUAGUUUUUGUUCCAUCAUCUAUUAAUAAUAUAACAAUAAUAAUUCAUUAUAUGCCAAUGAGUUGAGAAAUCUGGCACUACAUUAUUUAAAUGACACAUAAAAAGCAUAAUGUACAAAAAAUUGAUCAUGCAUAACUAAAUACUGUGGAUCAAUAAUAGUAUAGAAGAUGAUCUAACUAAUAAGACUACUAGUGAGAACUGAGAUUAUACACAAUUAUAGUAGAGAAGAUGCUAUCUAUGCUCUAAACCUAAGCUAAAGUAAACCUAAACUAAACCAAACCUAAAAUAAACCUAAACUAAACUUAAAAUACAGAAACAAAAACAGAAAAAAAAACAAGAGGUCUCACCGGGUGGNNNNNNNNNNNNNNNNNNNNNNNNNNNNNNNNNNNNNNNNNNNNNNNNNNNNNNNNNNNNNNNNNNNNNNNNNNNNNNNNNNNNNNNNNNNNNNNNNNNNNNNNNNNNNNNNNNNNNNNNNNNNNNNNNNNNNNNNNNNNNNNNNNNNNNNNNNNNNNNNNNNNNNNNNNNNNNNNNNNNNNNNNNNNNNNNNNNNNNNNNNNNNNNNNNNNNNNNNNNNNNNNNNNNNNNNNNNNNNNNNNNNNNNNNNNNNNNNNNNNNNNNNNNNNNNNNNNNNNNNNNNNNNNNNNNNNNNNNNNNNNNNNNNNNNNNNNNNNNNNNNNNNNNNNNNNNNNNNNNNNNNNNNNNNNNNNNNNNNNNNNNNNNNNNNNNNNNNNNNNNNNNNNNGAAGGGGGUCACCGGGGCUGCUGGGGCGGCGCGGCGACAGGGGUGGCGCGGGGCGGCGGCGGCACGGGGGUGGGAUGGUGCGGGGCGGCGGCGGCUCGGGCGCGGGCGGAGAGAGAGAGGGACAGAUGUGGGGCGCGGGCGGGCAUCGAUAUGGAUUUUAGUUAGGGCACGGUUCUUUGCCGUCCGCCAGCAGACGGCAAAGAUCCUAGCUAACGGGUGUUCGCUUGGCCACUUUCUUUGCCGUCUGCUAGCAGACGGCAAAGAGGGGGGCCGUUAGGUUUUUUUCUAAACAUCUCGUUAGUGGGGCCCACCUCUCUCUUUGCCGUCCGCCAGCUGACGGCAAAUAUUCUUUGUCGUCCGCUAGCAGACGGCAAAGAAUUGGCUGAUGGCAAAGACAUUCUUUGCCAUUAGCCAGUUCUUUGCCGUCCUUUUUUGCAAGCUGACGGCAAAGACCUUCUUUGCCGUCCGCCAGCAGACGGCAAAGAAUAGGCAGACGGCAAAUAAGCAAAUUCCAGUAGUGCCAGCUUAGCUGCUCCAACGACAGAAGGGUCCACCACAGAAGGGACCCGGCCUCCAGACUGUCUUUCGCCGCCUCAGAUCUUCUUCCCUGCCGCCGGCAGCCACGACAACUGCAUUACCAUCAUCAACCAAGCAGAUCACCUCGAGGACUACACGGGUCCACAAGAGAGGUCGCACUCUUUUGUGUCUGCUUACGUUAUGCAUCGCUUAAUAUUGCAUGCUACUUUAUCGUCCUGUUCACCGAUUAGACUUUGAGUCAGCUCCAAACUAAUGCUCAAACUUGAGUUUUUAAAUGGUUGUGGGGUACAUAUCGGGGCCGCAAUCAAUAGUAUCUAUCUACUAUCUGGUUAAUCUCUGGCGGCUACUAUGAGUUUCAUGUUGGGUGGGAAACAAACAGUAAAGAAGCCAUUAUCUGUAUUUUUUAACUGAAGCCAUUAUCUGCCUGCUAUCAUUGGUUUUGGGUCUAUCCACAGGUUGCUACCAUCACUCUGGAUUUCUGCAUGCACUCCUUACAUAAUCUCACUAUGUUUUAUUCCUAUGCAUGUCAUUUAUUGUACACAAUGGAACUGAACAUGUAGAGCAAAAGAGACGAGCCUUGCGUGGCAAUAAAAUUUCAUGCAGACGUCGCUCCAUGGUGGGCACAAAGGCAGCCCCCGUCCACCCAUUUCGGAUUGUAAUCAAGAGGAAGGUAACUGUUCUGAGGGGGAUUCAGAAGGAGAAGACCACUCCUAUUUACCCCCUGAGGUCUUCGCUCUAACUUGGCAUGCUGAUGUUGAUAAUAUCAUGCAUAUGGUGCCUUGCAUGCUUACUUUAUACAUAAAAUAUGUCAUCUGCCUAGUUUAGACAUGCUUUGUGUGAAUGUCAUUUGUUUAGUUUCUUUAUCAUAUAUGUGAACUAUGCAACGCCAUCUUGUUUAGCCAAGCAUCAUAUAUGUGAAUUUUGCAAUGCCAUCCUGCUUAGCCAGUCAUCUUAUAUGUGAAUUAUAUCAUGCCAUCCUUUUUUAUUACGUAUUACAUUUGUCAACAAUGUUAGUACAUUCAACUACUCUUCGUGCACAUCAGCCAUUUGACACGGUGAUGGAAAAUUCUGGAGUGAAAACAAGGUCUUCAAAGCAGACUAUGCUAUUUGACGAAGUGCAUAUCUCGCUGGUUAUGGAUAGCUCCUUAGAGGAGGAUUCAGAGACAGAUGACCAGUCCUAUUUCCCCCCGAGGUGUAUGCUCUAACUUGGCAGGGUUAUGUUGCUCAUAUCGUGCGUAUGGUGUCUUGCAUUGCUAUGUCAUUUGCUUAGUUUAGACAUGCUUUGUGUGAAUGCCACCUGUUUAGUGUCUAAUUACCAUAUAUGUGAAUUAUGCAAUGCCAUCUUGUUGCAAGACAUUAUAUAUGUGAAUUAUGCAAUGUUAUCUUGUUGCAAGACAUUAUAUAUGUGAAAUGCAAUGCCAUGUUGUUUAGCCAAUCAUCAUAUAUGUGAAUUAUAUCAUGCUAUCCUUUUUUUAUUACGUGUUUCAUUUGUCGACAAUGUUUGUAUAUUCAACUACUCUUCCUGUGCAUCAGCUAUUUGAAGCGGUGAUGGAAGUAUCUGGAGUGAAAACAAGGUGUUCAGAGCAGACAAUGCUACCCGCUGAAGCAGACAUCUUGUUGGUUAUAGAUAGCUCCUCAGAGGAGGAUUCAGAGACAGAUGACCAGUCCUAUUCCCCCCUGAGGUCUAUGCUCAAACUUGGCAGGGUUAUAUUACUCAUGUCAUGCAUGUUGUCUUGCAUUGCUUAGUUUUUACAUCAUAUAUGUGAUUGCCAUCUGCUUACUUGCUUAGUAUAUAAAUCAUAUAUUUGAAUUAUAUCAUGCCAUCAUGUUUACAUAGACAGCAUCUAUCUGUUAUGACAUUCCAACCCAUUUAAUAAAGACAUCAUAUAGUUAUAUCAUCUCAUCAUGUUUAGUGUUUACAGUCAUCAUAUUUUGAAUUAUGUCAUUCUAUCCAUGAAUUAUACCAUGCUAUCAUGUUUCCAUAGGCGGCAUGUAUGUGAAUUAUGGCAUGCCAACCUAUUUAAUAAAUACAUUAUAUAGUUAUAUCACGUCAUCAUGUUUACAUAGUCAUCAUAUUUUGAACUACGUCUUUCCAUCCUUUUUAGUUAGCCAUCAUAUAUGUGAAAUUGUGUCAUGCUAUCCUGUUUAGUUAGCCAUCAUAUAUGUGAAAUUGUGUCAUGCUAUCCUGUUUGGUUAGACAACAUAAAUGUGAAUUAUUUCAUGCCCUCUUUUAUUCCCCACUAUCCAUUGCACCUGUCUAUCAUACAAUGUCUGUACAUUCAAUUACUUUUCUUGUUUAUCAGCCAUUUGAAUUUGAGAGGGUGAUGGCAGUAUCUAAGGGAGUAACAACACGGUCUUCAGAAAAGAUAGUGCUACUAGUCGAUGCAGAUAGAACCACGGUUGUACUUGCCCAAGAACCAGCCCCACCACACAUAACCCAGACUCCCACAGAUUGUACCCCUACCCAGUUGGACAGAGAACCAGCUACACCCCUUCUAACCCCAACCCCAGCAGAUAGUAACCCAGUUCCAGUUGACACAACACUGUCUCCACCACACAACACCCAAACACGAGCAGUUAGUAAGGGAACUGCAGUGCCCAAAGCACGAGGACCACCACUCUAAAUCCCAACUCAACGCUUAAAGCAGAAGAAGAAUUGUUCUCAGGUCCAGUUCAUGUAGCUAUGGUUCAUACUCCUUUGCUCUUGCAUCACUGUAUUUACUCAUACCAACUAUUUUCAAAUUUGAAGGAUGGAAUUGAAACUCCAAUGGUGCAACAGGUAUGUUUUAAACAUGUUUCUUUAACUGGUUUGCUGUUGUAACUUGCUCUGUGUUGAUUUCAGUUUCAAUUGAAUAAACAGUUAUGUUCUCAUGUCAUGCACAUUACAAGUGUUGUUAUUGCUCUGUAGUUUCCCACACUUAUAUUCUAUCUAUUCUACUUUGUCUUAAACAUAUAUUAUUUGAACUGUGUCUCUAUCUUGAUUUGGCAACAAAAACUAGAAUGAUAUAGACCAUACAGUGACCAUGGUACAUAGAUAUAUGUUUGUUUCAUGCUGUUAUCCUGUCCACUUUACUACUGAGCUGAUUUACCAAAAUGAGAUCAUAUACAACACGGUAAACAUGUGAUGUGUCUGCUUGUUUCUCUUUUAGAAUGCGGACAAAAUAUUGGAGAAGAGUACCCCCAUUAUGCAAUGGUAAAGGAAGUAAUCCAGAUAAGGUUCAAGAUAGUGAGACAUCCCUGUUGGUCUCCAAGAAAGCUGAUAAAAACUAUCUUGAUGAUAGUGAGACAACCCAAAAGUCAUGUCUUGAUGUAGUGUUCGAGUUACUGGCCACUACUGCUGGCACAAGCUCUUUGAACUCACUGCCUGAAUCAGUUUGUCUUCUUGAGUCUCAACUUCAAGUUGAAGACAUCGAUCAGAUGUGCUGCGACACGAAGCCGAAGGAUUGAGGAACUCCCUGCAGAAUUCAGAUGCAUACUUUCUGGUGCAACAGCAAGCGCUGGAGGAUUUAAGUGCAAAACAAGAGAAAGUUAAUAAGCUUGGCAUCUUGCCAGCAUUAUGGGCACCCAGGAUAUUGUUUCUAGAGCUCUUCUGAAGUGGUUUCAGUUCUAGACUUGUUUUGCUGCGGCAUUUAUUUGCACUGGUCGCCAGCUUUGACAACCAGUGUAUGUGAUAUGCUGCUUUGUUCCCUAUAUUUGCAUCGGUGGCGAACUUUGAUGCCCAGUGGAUGUAAUAUGUGUAAUAGCCGUGAUAGCCUAGCAAAAGUUGCUUGCUUAUUUAUUUCCUUGUUGUCUUGUUUAUUUAUUUGCUUGUAGUCAGUGUAGUUCUUUUUCCGCGGUUUGCUAGUGGCCGCAGUAACCUAUUUUUGAAAACUAGGCCACAAUAACCAUGGGCUACAUAUUUACUGUAGUGACCAUGGGCCUCCUACGGGCCGUAGAAACAAUGGGCCUUCUACGGGCCGUAGAAACAAUGGGCCUUUACGGGUCAUGGAAACAAUGGGCCUUCUACAGGACGUAGCAACAAUGGGCCUUCUACGGGCCGUAAGAUCGAUUGGCCAAACAUGGGCCAAUAACAUACCGCAUUAUGGGCCGUAAAUGGGCUAGAGUUGGAAUCGUCCAUUCAUGGGCCGACCAUAACGGGACGUCGUUAAUCGGUCGUAAUUGAUGACGCUAUGAAAAUGGCCCAAUGGAUUAACGCGCCACAAACGAGCCGACUGUAACCACAGGCUGAAUUUGGCCCACAAGCAGAAAAGGCCAGUAACGGGCCUUAAGUAACCGAAUGCUGGAGAUGAGCCCAAGAAUAAAUGGGCCCUGAGAAGGCCAAAAUAUAACACGGGUUGGAAACGGCCAAUGGAAUAAUGGGCCGUUAAUGGGUAUAAAGCGGUACACUUUUCAUUACGGGUCAGUUUCACCAUGGGCCGUUAAUGGGCCAAGAGUUACAAAAGGCCUCAUAUGGGCCAAAAGACGUCAUGGGCCAUACAUGGGCCGGAAGUUACAACGGGCUGGAAUCAUAUUGGACGGCCCAGAUGAAGCUACUGGGCUUAAUCCGGAUAGGUCGUAACGGGCCGUUAGUUAGCGGGUCGUAAAUGGGCUAUAUACGAACAUGCCGUUAACAGGCUUUCCGUGGGCCGGGCCGCUACCUUUUGACCAAGUAAAACGGGUCGGCCUUUUCACCGGAAUGGGCCUCUGUUGGGCCAUGCCAUGUGUAGACGUAUCAUAGGCGCCUCUUGUCAAUUGAGUGGAUGACAUCUGUCCCAACGGUGAGUCGACACGUGGUUCCUCUGGCCGUUGAGAAUUUUACACGUGGAAAAUCUCCAUUGGUCAGGCCUGUUAACGGGUUAUCGGAUCCAAAACAGGACCCGAUAGCUUAACGGCGACCCGUUACGGUGGAUGCCACGUGUCAGUUACCCUUGAUGAAAGCACUUCCAUGACGCGCCAUUUAUCGUCAUGGAAGUGGACACUUCCGUGAUGAUAAUUUUGGUAAUGUCAUGGAACACUUCUAUGACAGCACAGGUAUGACUAUCUUGAUUCUAUCAUAAAAUCGUCAUGGAUGUACAUGCAUGACAGAAAAUGUAACCUACUGUGACAAACAUGUAUCAUCAUGGAAGUGUAUUCUUUUGUAGUGAUGUUACUUGCCCGAGAUUCGAUCAUCAGUAUCUUCAUACCUAGUUCAAUCUCGUUACCGGCAAGUCUCUUUACUCAUUCCAUAAUACAUCACCUAGUGACUAACUCCUUAGUCAUUUGUGUGACGCCCGGAUAUUUAAGCUACAGUAAUUCCUUGUUAAUGAUGCCAUGUCACCGCGGUUAUUUUUGUUAAUCUCGCGUUAGUUUGAAACCGAUUCAAAUUCAAAAUCAAAACAAACGGUAAAAGUUUUCAAACAUUAAAACUAAAAUGUUCAGGUUGUGUCAAAUAAAUCAUAAGUAAUUAUGGUGGAGAAACCACAGUUUUAUAAAGUGUUUAAAUGCACUAUAAUAAAUAAACAGUGGCAAAGCAGUUAUUCAAAUGCCUUCAAAAUAAUAAACAAUUCCAAAACUAUUUUUUUUCAAUGCUAAACUGUUUGUGGCAGUGGCAUAAAUUGUAACACUAUUUUAGGUGCCACUUUUGUAUUUUAUUGAAACUAGGCUAAAACAGAAAAGAAAUAAAAUAAAUAAAAGUAAAACAAAACAAAACAAACAAAAAAAGAGAAGAAAAGGAAAGCACCCCCCACUGGACCACGGCCCAGCAGGCCUCCAGGCCGCACGGCCGGCCCACCAGGCCCAACCGGCCACCACCACUCCCUUAUCCCCUCUCGCCCGAAACCCUAACCCCCCACUACUCCCACUGCCCCCACGAUCCCCCUCAUCUCUUCCCNNNNNNNNNNNNNNNNNNNNNNNNNNNNNNNNNNNNNNNNNNNNNNNNNNNNNNNNNNNNNNNNNNNNNNNNNNNNNNNNNNNNNNNNNNNNNNNNNNNNNNNNNNNNNNNNNNNNNNNNNNNNNNNNNNNNNNNNNNNNNNNNNNNNNNNNNNNNNNNNNNNNNNNNNNNNNNNNNNNNNNNNNNNNNNNNNNNNNNNNNNNNNNNNNNNNNNNNNNNNNNNNNNNNNNNNNNNNNNNNNNNNNNNNNNNNNNNNNNNNNNNNNNNNNNNNNNNNNNNNNNNNNNNNNNNNNNNNNNNNNNNNNNNNNNNNNNNNNNNNNNNNNNNNNNNNNNNNNNNNNNNNNNNNNNNNNNNNNNNNNNNNNNNNNNNNNNNNNNNNNNNNNNNNNNNNNNNNNNNNNNNNNNNNNNNNNNNNNNNNNNNNNNNNNNNNNNNNNNNNNNNNNNNNNNNNNNNNNNNNNNNNNNNNNNNNNNNNNNNNNNNNNNNNNNNNNNNNNNNNNNNNNNNNNNNNNNNNNNNNNNNNNNNNNNNNNNNNNNNNNNNNNNNNNNNNNNNNNNNNNNNNNNNNNNNNNNNNNNNNNNNNNNNNNNNNNNNNNNNNNNNNNNNNNNNNNNNNNNNNNNNNNNNNNNNNNNNNNNNNNNNNNNNNNNNNNNNNNNNNNNNNNNNNNNNNNNNNNNNNNNNNNNNNNNNNNNNNNNNNNNNNNNNNNNNNNNNNNNNNNNNNNNNNNNNNNNNNNNNNNNNNNNNNNCCUCGCCACUGCUCGCGCGCGCCCCAGCGCCACCACCUCCAACCGACGCCGCGCUCUGCCCGCUGCCGAGGCCACCCCUCCGCCGCCUCCCCUGGGCCUGGCUGCCGGCGCCGGCGUGCGCCGAGUGUGCCCAGCGCCCCUCGGGCGCCUGCCUCGUCCGACCCGCUAGGCCCCUGGGGCCUAUGACAAGGGGGCCCCACCCCAGAACGUUUAAUAGAAAAAAAUAAAGAAUAAAAAGUAAAUAAUAAUAAAAAUGUUAAUUAAUUGAUUAAUUAACUUAGUUAAUUAUGUUUAAAUUAACCUAAUAACUAAUUAACCUAAUUGACUACUGUUAAUUAACUAAACAGUUAAUGACAUGCGGACCCCACACGUCAGUUUGACUAGGUCAACUAACUAGUUGACUGCUGACAUCAUGCUGACGUCAUAAUUACAUUUUCUAAUUAAAUUAAUUUUGUUAAUUCUAAAAUGAAUUAAAUCUUUAAAAAAUAAUAUAAAAUAAUCCAUAACUCGGAUGAAAAUACUUUGUACAUGAAAGUUGCUCGGAACGAUGAGACAAAUUCGAAUACGCAGCCCGUUCGUCUGCCACACAUGCCUAGCAUAGCGAACACGCAACUUUUCCCCUCCGGUUUAUCUGUCCGGAAACGCGAAACUUCGGGGAUACUUUCCCGGAUGUUUCCCCCCUUCGCCGGUAUCACCUAAUACCGCGUUAGGGCAUACCUAGCACCGCGUAUUACCUCGUUAUGUUUUGUGAUGCUUUGUUUGCUCCGUAUUUACUGUUUCUUCCCCCCUCUUCUUCUUCGAUAGACACCGAGACCGUUGCUGAUGCCACUGAGUUCGACCACGUUGUUGACGACCCCUCCUUGCCAGAGCAACCAGGCAAGCCCCCCCUUAAUCACCAGAUAUCGCCUAUUCUUCUCUAUACUACUUGCAUUAGAGUAGUGUAGCAUGUUACUGCUUUCCGUUAAUCCUAUUCUGCUGCAUAGCCUGUCCUUGCUACUACUGUUGUUACCUUUACCUGCAAUCCUACAUGCUUAGUAUAGGAUGCUAGUAUUCCAUCUGUGGCCCUACAUUCUUGUCCGUCUGCCUUGCUAUACUAUCGGGUCGUGAUCACUCGGGAGGUGAUCACGGGUAUAUACUUAUAUACUUUACAUGAUACCUGUGGUGACUAAAGUCGGGUCGGCUUGUAGGAGUACCCGCGAGUGGAUCUUGUGGCGGAGCGACAGGGCAGGUUGAGACCACCUAGGAGAGAGGUGGGCCUGGCCCUGGUCGGCGUCCGCGGUUACUUCAUAAUAACACGCUUAACGAGAUCUUGGUAUUUGAUCUGAGUCUGGCCACUGGCCUAUACGCACUAACCAACUACGCGGGAAUAGUUAUGGGCACUCGGCGUCGUGGUAUCAGCCGAAGCCUUCUUGAUGUCAGCGACUGAGCGACGCGCACCGGAUUGGACUAGAACGCCUACUCUUGUAUAAGGGAGGCUAGGUCUGCUUCAGGCCGCAUUCGCAACGUGCAGGUGUGCAAUGGGCGAUGGGCCCAGACCCCUCCGCCAUAGGAUUUAGACCGGCAUGCUGACCUCUCUGUUGUGCCUAGGUGGGGCUGCGACGUGUUGAUCUUCCGAGGCCGGGCAUGACCCAGGAAAGUGUGUCCAGCCAAAUGGGAUCGAGCGUGUUGGGUUAUGUGGUGCACCCCUGCAGGGAAGUUUAUCUAUUCGAAUAGUCGUGUCCCUCGGUAAAAGGACGACCCAGAGUUGUACCUUGACCUUAUGACAACUAGAACCGGAUACUUAAUAAAACACACCCUUCCAAGUGCCAGAUACAACCCGGUGGUCGCUCUCUAACAGGGCGACGAGGAGAGGAUCGCCGGGUAGGAGUAUGCUAUACGAUGCUACUUGGUGAACUUCAAUCUACUCUCUUCUACAUGCUGCAAGAUGGAGGCUGCCAGAAGCGUAGUCUUCGACAGGACUAGCUAUCCCCCUCUUAUUCCGGCAUUCUGCAGUUCAGUCCACCGAUAUAGCCCCUUUACACAUAUACCCAUGCAUAUGUAGUGUAGAUCCUUGCUUGCGAGUACUUUGGAUGAGUACUCAUGGUUGCUUUUCUCCCUCUUUUCCCCCUUUCCCUUCUACCUGGUUGUCGCAAUCAGAUGCUGGAGCCCAGGAGCCAGACGCCACCGUCGACGACGACUCCUACUACACCGGAGGUGCCUACUACUACGUUCAGGCCGUUGACGAUGACCAGGAGUAGUUUAGGAGGAUCCCAGGCAGGAGGCAUGCGCCUCUUUCGAUCUGUAUCCCAGUUUGUGCUAGCCUUCUUAAGGCAAACUUGUUUAACUUAUGUCUGUACUCAGAUAUUGUUGCUUCCGCUGACUAGUCUAUGAUCGAGCACUUGUAUUCGAGCCCUCGAGGCCCCUGGCUUGUAUUAUGAUGCUUGUAUGACUUAUUCUAUUUUUAGAGUUGUGUUGUGAUAUCUUCCCGUGAGUCCCUGAUCUUGAUCGUACACGUUUGUGUGUAUGAUUAGUGUACGGUUGAAUCGGGGGUGUCACAAUUUGCUUGCAAGCUUAUGAUGUGUAUUACCGAGAGGGCCCAGAGAUACCUCUCCGAUACUCGGAGUGACAAAUCCUAAUCUUGAUAUAUGCCAACUCAACAAAUACCUUCGGAGAUACCUGUAGAGCAUCUUUAUGAUCACCCAGUUACGUUGUGACGUUUGAUAGCACACAAGGUAUUCCUCCGGUAUCCGAGAGUUGCAUAAUCUCAUAGUCGAAGAAUAAGUAUUUGACAUGAAGAAAGCAGUAGUAAUAAACCGAACGAUCAUUAUGCUAAGCUAACAGAUGGGUCUUGUCCAUCACAUCAUUCUCCUAAUGAUGUGAUCCCGUUAUCAAAUGACAACACAUGUCUAUGGUUAGGAAACCUUAACCAUCUUUGAUCAACGAGCUAGUCUAGUAGAGGCUCACUAGGGGAACGGUAUUUGUUUAUGUAUCCACGCAUGUAUUUAGGUUUCCGAUCAAUACAAUUCUAGCAUGAAUAAUAAACCUUUAUCAUGAAUAAGGAAACAUAAAAUAACAACUUUAUUAUUGCCUCUAGGGCAUAUUUCCUUCAGUCUCCCACUUGCACUAGAGUCAAUAAUCUAGUUCACAUCGCCAUGUGAUUAACACCCAUAGUUCACAAUGCCAUGUGACCAAUACACAAAGAGUUUACUAGAGUCAAAUAAUCUAGUUCACAUCGCCAAGUGAUUAAUACCCAAAGAGUAUUAAGGUGUGGUCAUGUUUUGCUUGUGAGAGAGGUUUAGUCAACAGGUCUGUCACAUUCAGAUUUGUAUGUAUUUUGCAAAUUUCUAUGUCUACAAUGCUCUGCAUGGAUCUACUCUAGCUAAUUGCUCCCACUUUCAAUACGUAUCCAGAUUGAGAUUCAUAAUCAUCUGAAUCGGUGUCAAAGCUUGCAUCGACGUAACUGUUUACGAUGAACUCUUUAUCACCUCCAUAACCGAGAAAUAUUUCCUUAGUCCUCUAAGGAUAAUUUUGACCGUUGUCCAGUGAUUCACUCCUGGAUCACUCUUGUACCUCCUUGCUAAAUCCAUGGUGAUAACCCACAAGUAUAGGGGAUCAAUUGUAGCCUCUUUCGAUAAGUAAGAGUGUCGAACCCAAAGAGGAGCUAAAGGUAGAACAAAUAUUCCCUCAAGUUCUAUCGACCACCGAUACAACUCUACGCACACUUGACGUUCGCUUUACCGGAAACAAGUAUGAAACUAGAAGUACUUUGUAGGUGUUUUUGGAUAGGUUUGCAAGAUAAUAAAGAGCGCGUAAAUAAAAAGUAGGGGCUGUUUAGAUAAAGACACAACUAAAUUAGUUUUAGUAGAGAGCUUUUUGUUACGAGAAAGUUAUUUGUCCCUAGGCAAUCGAUAACUAGACCGGUAAUCAUUAUUGCAAUUUUAUUUGAGGGAGAGGCAUAAGCUAACAUACUUUCUCUACUUGUAUCAUAUUCACUUAUGAUUGGAACUCUAGCAAGCAUCCGCAACUACUAAAGAUCAUUAAGGUAAAACCCAACCAUAGCAUUAAAGCAUCAAGUCCUCUUUAUCCCAUACGCAACAACCUACUUACUCGGGUAUAUGCUUCUGUCACUCACGCCACCCACUAUAAGCGAAUCAUGAACGUAUUGCAACACCCUACAGCGGGAAUCCCUCAUGCUUGCGCGACACGGAGAGCACCAUAGGACAGCACCAAUAAUAAAACAUGCAACUCAAACCAAUCUUGAUCAUCAAAUAACCCAUAGGACAAAACGGAUCUACUCAAACAUCAUAGGAUAGCCAUACAUCAUUGGGAAAUAAUAUAUAGCAUUGAGCACCAUGUUUAAGUAGAGAUUACAGCGGGUAAGAGAGAGGUUACACCGCUGCAUAGAGGGGGGAAGAGUUGGUGAUGAUGGCGGUGAAGUUGUUGGUGAAGAUUGCGGUGAUGAUGAUGGCCCCGGCGGUGUUCCGGCGCCACCGGAAGAGAGGGGGAGAGGGCCCCCCUUCUUCUUCUUCUUCCUUGACCUCCUCCCUAGAUGGGAGAAGGGUUUCCCCUCUGGUCCUUGGUCUCCAUGGCAUGGGAGGGGCGAGAGCCCCUCCGAGAUUGGAUCUGUCUCUCUCUGUUUCUGCGUUCUGGUUUUCUGCCCUUUCACCGUUUCGUAUAUAUAUGGAGAUCCGUAACUCCGAUUGGAUUGAAACCUUCGCCCAGAUUUUUCUCCGAAAAUUCGCUUUCUUGCGGCAAAAGAAGGGCAUCAACCGCCUUACGGGGGCCACGAGGGUCAGGGGCGCGCCCCCCUGCCUCGUGCCUCCCUCGGGCACUGUCUCGCGUGGAUUUUCCUUCCCAUAUUCUCUGAAUAUUCAAAAAAUAAUCUCCGUCCGUUUUUAUCCCGUUUGGACUCCGUUUGAUAUGGAUAUUCUGUGAAACAAAAACAUGCAACAAACAGGAACUGGCACUGGGCACUGGAUCAAUAUGUUAGUCCCCAAAAAUAGUAUAAAAAGUUGCCAAAAGUAUAUGAAAGUUGUAGAAUAUUGGCAUGGAACAAUCAAAAAUUAUAGAUACGAAGGAGACGUAUCAGCAUCCCCAAGCUUAAUUCCUGCUCGUCCUCGAGUAGGUAAAUGAUAAAAAGAUAAUUUUUGAUGUGGAAUGCUACCUAGCAUAAUCUUGAUCACAUAAUCUAAUCAUGGCAUGAAUAUUAAGACACGAGUGAUUCAAAGCAAUAGUCUAUCAUUUAACAGAAAAACAAUAAUACUUCAAGCCUACUAAUAAAGCAAUCAUGUAUUUUCAAAGUAACAUGGCCAAAGAAAGUUAUCCCUACAAAAUCAUAUAGUCUGGCUAUGCUCCAUCAUCACCACACAAAAUAUUCAAAUCAUGCACAACCCCGAUGACAAGCCGAGCAAUUGGUUCAUACUUUUUAACGCGCUUCAGCCUUUUCAACCCUCACGCAAUACAUGAGCGCAAGCCAUGGAUAUAGAACUAUGGGUGAAAUAGAAUAUGAUGAUGGAGGUUGUGUGGAGAAGACAAAAAAGGAGAAAGUCUCACAUCGACGCGGCUAAUCAACAGACUAUGGAGAUGCCCAUCAAUUGAUGUCAAUGUGAGGAGUAGGGAUUGCCAUGCAACGGAUGCACUAGAGCUAUAAGUGUAUGAAAGCUCAAACUGAAACUAAGUGGGUGUGCAUCCAACUUGCUUGCUCAUGAAGACCUAGGGCAUUAGAGGAAGCCCAUCGUUGGAAUAUACAAGCCAAGUUCUAUAAUGAAAAUUCCCACUAGUAUAUGAAAGUGAUAACUCAAGAGACUCUCUAUAUGAAGAACAUGGUGCUACUCUGAAGCACAAGUGUGGUAAAAGGAUAGUAACAUUGCCCCUUCUCUCUUUUUCUCUCUUUUUUUGUUUUUUCUUUUCUUUUUUUUCUUUUUUUUGGGCCUUCUCUUUUUUUGCCCUUUCUCUUUUUUUUAUUUUUUAUUUUUUUCGUCUGGAGUCUCAUCCCGACUUGUGGGGGAAUCAUAGUCUCCAUCAUCCUUUCCUCACUAGGGCAAUGCUCUAAUAAUGAUGAUCAUCACACUUUUAUUUACUUGCAACUCAAUAUUACAACUGGAUAUCCAGAACAAAGAUAUGACUCUAUAUGAAUGCCUCCGGCGGUGUACCGGGAUGUGCAAUGAUCUAGCGUAGCAAUGACAUCAAAAAAUGGACAAGCCAUGAAAACAUCAUGCUAGCUAUCUUACGAUCAUGCAAAGCAAUAUGACAAUAAAUGCUCAAGUCAUGUAUAUGAUGAUGAUGGAAGUUGCAUGGCAAUAUAUCUCGGAAUGGCUAUGGAAAUGCCAUGAUAGGUAGGUAUGGUGGCUGUUUUGAGGAAGAUAUAAUGAGGCUUAUGUGUGAUAGAGUGUAUCGUAUCAUGGGGUUUGGAUGCACCGGCGAAGUUUGCACCAACUCUCGAGGUGAGAAAGGGCAAUGCACGGUACCGAAGAGGCUAGCAAUGAUGGAAGGGUGAGAGUGCGUAUAAUCCAUGGACUCACAUUAGUCAUAAAGAACUCAUAUACUUAUUGCAAAAGUUUAUUAGCCCUCGAAGCAAAGUACUACUACGCAUGCCCCUAGGGGGAUAGAUUGGUAGGAAAAUACCAUUGCUCGUCCCCGACCGCCACUCAUAAGGAAGACAAUCAAUAAAUACCUCAUGCUCCAACUUCGUUACAUAACGGUUCACCAUACGUGCAUGCUACGGGAAUCACAGACCUCAACACAAGUAUUUCUACUAAUCCACAACUACCCACUAGCAUGAAUCUAAUAUCACCAUCUUUAUAUCGCAAAACUAUUGAAAGGAAUCAAACAUAUCAUAUUCACUGAUCUACAAGUUUUAUGUAGGAUUUUAUGACUAACCAUGUGAAUGACCAGUUCCUAUCAUCUCUCUAAAUAGAUAUAAGUGAAGCAAGAGAGUUUAAUUAUUUCUACAAAAGAUAUGCCCAUGCUCUAACAAGUAUAAGUGAAGCAAAAGAGCAUUCUACAAAUGGCGGUUUUCUAUGUGAAGAGAAACAGGCAAUCCAAACUUCAAAUGAUAUAAGUGAAGCACAUGAAGCAUUCUAUAAAGCCAUACUCAAAGGAUUUAAGUGAAGUGCAAUGAGCAUUUUAUAAAUCAACCAAGGACUAUCUCAUACCAGCAUGGUGCAUAAAAGAAAAGUGAAAACUAAACGCAAAAGACGCUCCAAGAUUGCACAUAUCGCAUGAACGAAACGAAUCCGAAAACAUACCGAUAUUUGUUGAAGAAAGAGGGGAUGCCUUCUGGGGCAUCCCCAAGCUUAGACGCUUGAGUCUCCUUGAAUAUUUACUUGGGGUGCCUUGGGCAUCCCCAAGCUUGAUCUCUUGCCUCUCUUCCUUCUUCUCACAUCGAGACAUCCUCAAUCAUCGAACACUUCAUCCACACAAAACUUCAACAGAAAACUCGGUAAGAUCCGUUAGUAUAAUAAAGCAAAUCACUACUCUAAGUACUGUUGCAAACCAAUUCAUAUUUUGUUUUUGCAUUGUGUCUACUGUAAUAUAGCUUUUCCAUGGCUUAAUCCACUGAUAUAAACUGAUAGUUUCAUCAAAACAAGCAAACUAUGCAACAAAAACAGAACAGUCUGUAAUAAUCUGAACAUUCACCAUACUUCUGAUACUUGAAAAAUUCUGCCAAAAUUAGGCAAAAUAAAAAAUCUGUAUAGAAAGACAGUGCAAAAAGAAUCAGAAUCAUUUGACGUUCCAGUAAAAAAUGUAAAAUCGAGCACUACAGCCAAAGUUUCUGUCCUGCACCAUACAAACCAACAAGCAUUGUAAACAUCCUAAAGGCAAACCUUGGCACAUUAUUUUUAUAAUACAAUGGAAUUGUACAAGGGGAUAAUUAUUUUUAUUGAAAAGUUUCUAUAAUCAAGAUUCACAAAGUUUCCGUGAGCAUGAACAAAGUUCAAGGCUAGCUCCCACUUCAACAAUGCUUGUCUUUCUCACUUUCACUUUCCUUUUUGAAAAAGUUUUUAGGUUCCCCUCUUUAUUUUUUUGUUUUUAAACUAUAUAAAAGCACACAAUAGAAAUAAAUGACUCUCUAAAACUUCUGGGUUGUCUCCCUGACAGCGCUUUCUUUAAAGCCAUUAAGCUAGGCAUAUAGUGCUCAAGUAGUGAAUCCACCCGGAUCCCAAGGUAUACCAAAGCCAAUUUUAAUUAGCAAUGAUUUGGCAUUUAGUAGUGAGCACAAAGCAACAUAUAUCAUGCAACAACGAAGUCUAACUCUCUUCCUAUGCAUCGGCAUGUCAUAAAAGAACAAUUCAUGCACACAUAGUAAAGGCCAAUGCAUAGUAUAAACAGUUUCUUGCAAUUUUAUCGUGUUGGAAACAUAGAGAGGUGGAGAUAUAGUUCCUCUCUCAUAAUAAUUGCAAGUAGGAGCAGCAAGCACAUGCAUAUUAUAUUCAUCAAAAUCAUCAUGUGCAACGGUAAAAUGCAACCCAUCAACAUAAUCCUUAAUAAGAGCAAACUUCUCCGAUAUAGUGUAGUUUGGAGAAUUCAAAAAGAUAAUAGGACUAUCAUGUGUGGGUGCAAUAGCAACAAUUUCAUGUUUAACAUAAGGAACUAUAGCAAGUCCAUCUCCAUAAGCAUCAUUCAUAUUGGCAUCAUGGCCACAAGCAUAGCAAGCAUCAUCAAAAAGGGAUAUUUCAAAAGAAUCAACGGGAUCAUAACAAUCAUCCUUCGGUAAGCACGAAGGGAAAUUAAACAAUGUAUGAGUUGAAGAGUUACUCUCAUUAGAAGGUGGGCAUGGGUAGCUAAUCCGCUCUUCCUCCUUUUGUUCUUCGCUCUCCUCAUCAUUUUUUCAUCCAAUGAGCUCACAGUUUCAUCAAUUUCUUCUUCCAUAGACUCCUGCAAAAUAUUAGUCUCUUUUUGGACAGCGGAGUAGUCCUCAAUAUAUGGUUCAACAUAGGCAUUAGAAGCAUAAUUAUCAUAGCAACAUUUAAGUAUGGCAAAAUUUUCAGAUUUGUAAAGAGUAGCAUCAUACUUUUCAAUCAAAGAAGCAAUUUCGUAAGCACCCUUAAAAGCAACAAAUUCUUCAAUUUGUUGAACAUCAUAGUAAUUAUAAACACCCUUAGCAUACGAAGAUACGAUUCCAUUAUCACUAAACUCACAUUGAUAGGGAAGGUGUUUCUUAGGGUUUUCAGAACAACAAGUAAAAUCAUAUAUUUCACAUAAAUUCUAAGCAUAGCAUUGCAAACGAUGAAUUUGACCCAGUAAAAGUUUCCCUUUUUCAGAUAUACGGUGUCGCACAUAACAAGCAUGCUCAUCUAAAGAUUUGCCCUCAACUAAGCUAGUUGGGGUUUCAGCACGAGCACAUAGGGAUCGAAGAUGAUCCAAGUAAUAAGCUUCAGGAGUGUGAUAGAUUUAGUGGUCCUUCAACCAUUGGUUCAGUAGGUACAACUAAUUGUUUUGGUAUUUUGCGUUUCCUACCCAUAACUAAAGAUAGAAAAUAACUAAGAACAGCAAAUAAAAAUUACUUAGUGAUAAAGCAAACAAGCACACACGAGAAUAUUCACCCCACGCUAUUGCUCCCCAGCAACGGCGCCAGAAAAAGGUCUUGAUAACCCACAAGUAUAGGGGAUCAAUUGUAGCCUCUUUCGAUAAGUAAGAGUGUCGAACCCAAUGAGGAGCUAAAGGUAGAACAAAUAUUCCCUCAAGUUCUAUCGACCACCGAUACAACUCUACGCACACUUGACAUUCGCUUUACCGGAAACAAGUAUGAAACUAGAAGUACUUUGUAGGUGUUUUUGGAUAGGUUUGCAAGAUAAUAAAGAGCGCGUAAAUAAAAAGUAGGGGCUGUUUAGAUAAAGACACAACUAAAUUAGUUUUAGUAGAGAGCUUUUUGUUACGAGAAAGUUAUUUGUCCCUAGGCAAUCGAUAACUAGACCGGUAAUCAUUAUUGCAAUUUUAUUUGAGGGAGAGGCAUAAGCUAACAUACUUUCUCUACUUGGAUCAUAUUCACUUAUGAUUGGAACUCUAGCAAGCAUCCGCAACUACUAAAGAUCAUUAAGGUAAAACUCAACCAUAGCAUUAAAGCAUCAAGUCCUCUUUAUCCCAUACGCAACAACCUACUUACUCGGGUAUAUGCUUCUGUCACUCACGCCACCCACUAUAAGCGAAUCAUGAACGUAUUGCAACACCCUACAGCGGGAAUCCCUCACGCUUGCGCGACAUGGAGAGCACCAUAGGAUAGCACCAAUAAUAAAACAUGCAACUCAAACCAAUCUUGAUCAUCAAAUAACCCAUAGGACAAAACGGAUCUACUCAAACAUCAUAGGAUAGCCAUACAUCAUUGGGAAAUAAUAUAUAGCGUUGAGCACCAUGUUUAAGUAGAGAUUACAGCGGGUAAGAGAGAGGUUACACCACUGCAUAGAGGGGGGAAGAGUUGGUGAUGAUGGCGGUGAAGUUGUUGGUGAAGAUUGCGGUGAUGAUGGUGGCCCCGGCGGUGUUCCAGCGCCACCGGAAGAGAGGGGGAGAGGGCCCCCCUUCUUCUUCUUCUUCUUCCUUGACCUCCUCCCUAGAUGGGAGAAGGGUUUCCCCUCUGGUCCUUGGUCUCCAUGGCAUGGGAGGGGCGAGAGCCCCUCCGAGAUUGGAUCUGUCUCUCUGUCUCUCUCUGUUUCUGCGUUCUGGUUUUCUGCCCUUUCACCGUUUCGUAUAUAUAUGGAGAUCCGUAACUCCGAUUGGAUUGAAACCUUCACCCAGAUUUUUCUCCAAAAAUUUGCUUUCUUGCGGCAAAAGAAGGGCAUCAACCGCCUUACGGGUCCCACGAGGGUCAAGGCGCGCCCAGGGGGUGGGGCGCGCCCCCCUACCUCGUGCCUCCCUCGGGCACCGUCUCGCGUGGAUUUUCCUUCCCAUAUUCUCCGAAUAUUCAAAAAAUAAUCUCCGUCCGUUUUUAUCCCGUUUGGACUCCGUUUGAUAUGGAUAUUCUGCGAAACAAAAACAUGCAACAAACAGGAACUGGCAUUGGGCACUGGAUCAAUAUGUUAGUCCCCAAAAAUAGUAUAAAAAGUUGCCAAAAGUAUAUGAAAGUUGUAGAAUAUUGGCAUGGAACAAUCAAAAAUUAUAGAUACGACGGAGACGUAUCACAUGGCAAGGCACACAAUAGGUCUAGUACACAGCAUGGCAUACUUUAUAGAACCUAUGACUGAGGCAUAGGGAAUGACUUUCAUUCUCUCUAUAUAUUCUGCCUUGGUCGGGUUUUGAGUCUAACUCAUGUUCACACCUUGUUACACAGGCAAGAACCCUUUCUUUGACUGAUCCAUUUUGAACUUCUUCAAAACUUUGUCAAGGUAUGUGCUUUGUGAAAGUCCUAUUAAGCGUCUCGAUCUAUCCCUAUAGAUCUUGAUGCCCAAUAUAUAAGCAGCUUCACCGAGGCCUUUCAAUGAAAAAUUCUUAUUCAAGUAUCCUUUUAUGUUAUCCAGAAAUUCUAUAUUAUUUCCAAUCAACAACAUGUCAUCCACAUAUAAUAUUACAAAUGCUACAGAGCUCCCACUCACUUUCUUGUCAAUACAGGCUUCGCCAUAAGUCUGUAUAUAACCAUAUGCUUUGAUCACCUCAUCAAAACAUAUGUUCAACUACGAGAUGCUUGCACCAGUCCAUAGAUGGAUCGCUGGAGUUUGCACACUUUGUUAGCACCAUUAGGAUCGACAAAACCUUCUGGUUGCAUCAUAUACAACUCUUCUUUAAGAAAUCUAUUAAGGAAUGCAGUUUUGACGUCCAUUUGCCAAAUUUCAUAAUUAUAAAAUGCGGCAAUUGCUAACAUGAUUUGGAAUGACUUAAGCAUCGCUACGGGUGAGAAGGUCUCAUCAUAGUCAACCCUUGAACUUGUCAAAAACCUUUCGCGACAAGUCGAGCUUUGUAGAUGGUGACAUUACCAUCAGCGUCUGUCUUCUUCUUGAAGAUCCAUUUAUUCUCAAUGGCUUGCCGAUCAUCGGGCAAGUCCACCAAAGUCCACACUUUGUUCUCAUACAUGGAUCCUAUCUCAGAUUUCAUGGCCUCAAGCCAUUUAUCAAAAUCUGGCCUCAUCAUAGCUCCUUCAUAGUUCGUAGGUUCGUCAUGGUCUAGUAACAUGAUUUCCAGGACAGGAUUACCAUACCACUCUGGUGCGGAAUGUGCUCUAUUCGACCUACGAGGUCCAGUAGCAUCUUGAUCAGAAGUUUCAUGAUCAUCAUCAUUAGCUUCCUCUCUAGUUGGUGUAGGCAUCACGGGAAUGGAUUUCUCUGAUGUGCUACUUUCCAAAUUGAGAGAAGGUACAAUUACCUCAUCAAGUUCUACUUUCCUCUCACUCACUUCUUUUGAGAGAAACUCAUUCUCUAGAAAGGACCCAUUCUUAGCAACAAAGAUCUUGCCUUCGGAUAUGUGGUAGAAGGUGUACCCAAUUGUUUCCUUAGGGUAUCCUAUGAAGACGCACUUCUCCAAUUUAGGUUCGAGCUUAUCAGGCUGAAGCCUUUUGACAUAAGCAUCGCAUCCCCAAACUUUAAGAAACGACAGCUUAGGUUUCUUGCCAAACCACAGUUCAUACGGUGUCAUCUCAACGGAUUUAGACGGUGCCCUAUUUAGCGUGAAUGUAGUUGUCUCUAAUGCAUAACCCCAAAAGGAUAGUGGUAAAUCGGUAAGAGACAUCAUAGAAUGCACCAUAUCUAAUAAAGUACGGUUACGACGUUCGGACACACCAUUACGUUGUGGUGUUCCAGGUGGCGUGAGUUGUGAAACUAUUCCACAUUGUUUUAAAUGAAGCCAAACUCGUAACUCAAAUAUUCGCCUCCGCAAUCACAUCAUAGAAACUUUAUUUUCUUAUUAUGAUGAUUCCCCACUUCACUCUGAAAUUCUUUGAACUUUUCAAAUGUUUCAGACUUGUGUUUCAUUAAGUAGACAUACCCAUAUCUACUCAAAUCAUCUGUGAAGGUCAGAAAAUAACGGUACCCGCCGCGUGCUUCAACACUAAUCGGACCGCCGCUACCUCUUGAGCAUGCGUUGUUUUUCCCUUGAAGAGGAAAGGGUGAUGCAGCAAAGUAGCAUAAGUAUUUCCCUCAGUUUUUUAGAACCAAGGUAUCAAUCCAGUAGGAGAUAACACGCAAGUCACCUAGUACCUGCACAAACAAUCAAGAAGCUUGCAACCAACGCGAUAAAGGGGUUGUCAAUCCCUUCAAGGUCACUCGCAAAAGUGAGAUCUAAUAAUGAUAGUAAGAUAAAUAUUUUUGGUAUUUUUGUUAUAUAGAUUGGAAAGUAAAGAUUGCAAAAUAGUAAAACGAGAUAUGAUGUAAAUAAAAGAUAUGCAAUAUAAUAAGAAAGAGACCCGGGGGCCAUAGGUUUCACCAGUGGCUUCUCUCAAGAUAGCAUAUAUUACGGUGGGUGAACAAAUUACUGCCGAGCAAUUGAUAGAAAAGCGCAUAGUUAUGAGAAUAUCUAGGCAAUGAUCAUGAAUAUAGGCAUCACGUCCGUGUCAAGUACACCGAAACGAUUCUGCAUCUACUACUAUUACUCCACACAUCGACCGCUAUCCAGCAUGCAUCUAGAGUAUUAAGUUCAUAAGAACAGAGUAACGCAUUAAGCAAGAUGACAUGAUGUAGAGGGAUAAACUCAAGCAAUAUGAUAUAAACCCAUCUUUUUAUCCUCGAUGGCAACAAUACAAUAUGUGCCUUGCUGCCCCUACUGUCACUAGGAAAGGACACCGGAAGAUUGAACCCAAAGCUAAGCACUUCUCCCAUUGCAAGAAAGAUCAAUCUAGUAGGCCAAACUAAACCGAUAAUUCGAAGAGACUUGCAAAGAUAUCAAAUCAUGCAUAUAAGAAUUCAGAGAAGAACCAAAUAUUAUUCAUAGACAAUCUUGAUCAUAAAUCCACAAUUCAUCGGAUCUCGGCAAACACACCGCAAAAGAGUAUUACAUCGAAUAGAUCUCCAAGAACAUCGAGGAGAACUUUGUAUUGAGAACCAAAGAGAGAGAAGAAGCCAUCUAGCUAAUAACUGUGGACCCGAAGGUAUAUGGUAAACUACUCACACAUCAUCGGAGAGGCUAUGGUGUUGAUGUAGAAGUCCUCCGUGAUCGAUUCCCCCUCCGGCAGAUCGCCGGAAAAGGCCCCAAGAUGGGAUCUCACGGGUACAAAAGGUUGCGGCGGUGGAAAAGUGGUUUCGUGGCUCCCCCUGAUGUUUUUAGGGUAUAAGAGUAUAUAUAGGUGAAAGAAGUACGUUGGUGGAGCUCCGUGGGGCCCACGAGGGUGGGGGCGCGCCUACACCCCUGGGCGCACCCUCCUGCCUCGUGGCCGCCUUGCGGAGUUCCAGACUUCAACUCCAAGUCUUCUGGAUUGCGUUUGUUCCAAGAAAGAUCAGCGAAGGUUUCAUUUCGUUAGGAUUCCGUUUGGUAUUCCUUUUCUGCAAAACACUGAAAUAGGCAAAAAAAAGAAAUUGGCACUGGGCCUUCGGUUAAUAGGUUAGUCCCAAAAAUAAUAUAAAAGAGCGUAUUAAAGCCCAUUAAACAUCCAAAAGAGAUAAUAUAAUAGCAUGGAACAAUCAAAAAUUAUAGAGACGUUGGAGACGUAUCAAGCAUCCCCAAGCUUAAUUCCUGCUCGUCCUCGAGUAGGUAAAUGAUAAAAACAGAAUUUUUGAUGUGGAAUGCUACCUAACAUAAUUUUCAAUGUAAUUUUAUUUAUUAUGGCAUGAAUGUUCUGAUCCGAAAGAUUCAAGACAAAAGUUUAAUAUUGACAUAAAAACAAUAAUACUUCAAGCAUACUAAUAAAGCAAUCAUGUCUUCUCAAAAUAACAUGGCCAAAGAAAAUUAUCCCUACAAAAUCAUAUAGUUUGGCUAUGCUCUAUCUUCAUCACACAAAAUAUCUAAAUCAUGCACAACCCCGAUGACAAGCCAAGCAAUUGUUGCAUACUUUUGAUGUUCUCAAACUUUUUCAAUCUUGACGCAAUACAUGAGCGUGAGCCAUGGACAUAACACUAUAGGUGGAAUAGAAUGGUGGUUGUGGAGAAGACAAAAAGGAGAAGAUAGUCUCACAUCAACUAGUCGUAUCAACGGGCUAUGGAGAUGCCCAUCAAUAGAUAUCAAUGUGAGUGAGUAGGGAUUGCCAUGCAACAGAUGCACUAGAGCUAUAAGUGUAUGAAAGCUCACCAAAAGAAACUAAGUGGGUGUGCAUCCAACUUGCUUGCUCACGAAGACCUAGGGCAUUUUGAGGAAGCCCAUCCUUGGAAUAUACAAGCCGGGUUCUAUAAUGAAAGAUUCCCACUAGUAAAUGAAAGUGACAACAUAGGAGACUCUCUAUCCUGAAGAUCAUGGUGCUACUUUGAAGCACAAGUGUGGUAAAAGGAUAGUAGCAUUGUCCCUUCUCUCUUUUUCUCUCAUUUUUUUAUUUGAGCCUUUCUCUUUUUUUAUGGCCUCUUUUUUUCGUCCGGAGUCUCAUCCCGACUUGUGGGGGAAUCAUAGUCUCCAUCAUCCUUUCCUCACUGGGACAAUGCUCUAAUAAUGAUGAUCAUCACACUUUUAUUUACUUACAACUCAAUACUUAGAACAAAAUAUGACUCUAUGUGAAUGCCUCCGGCAGUGUACCGGGAUGUGCAAUGAAUCAAGAGUGACAUGUAUGAAAAUCAUGAACGGUGGCUUUGCCACAAAUACGAUGUCAACUACAUGAUCAUGCAAAGCAAUAUGACAAUGAUGGAGCGUGUCAUAAUAAACGGAACGGUGGAAAGUUGCAUGGCAAUAUAUCUCGGAAUGGCUAUGGAAAUGCCAUAAUAGGUAGGUAUGGUGGCUGUUUUGAGGAAGGUAUAUGGUGGGUGUAUGAUACCGGCGAAAGGUGCGCGGUAUUAGAGAGGCUACCAAUGGUGGAAGCGUGAGAGUGCGUAUAAUCCAUGGACUCAACAUUUAGUCAUAAAGAACUCACAUACUUAUUGCAAAAAUCUAUUAGUUAUCGAAAUGAAGUACUACGCGCAUGCUCCUAGGGGGAUAGAUUGGUAGGAAAAGACCAUCGCUCGUCCCUGACCGCCACUCAUAAGGAAGACAAUCAAUAAAUAAAUCAUGCUCCGACUUCAUCACAUAACGGUUCACCAUACGUGCAUGCUACGGGAAUCACAAACUUUAACACAAGUAUCUCUGAAAUUGACAACUACUCAACUAGCAUGACUCUAAUAUCACCAUCUUCAUAUCUCAAAACAAUCAUAAGGAAUCAAACUUCUCACAGUAUUCAAUGCACUUUUUAUGAAAGUUUUUAUUAUACCCAUCUUGGAUGCUCAUCAUAUUAGGACUAAUUUUAUAGCCAAAGAAAAUUACCAUGUUGUUCUAAAAGACUCUCAAAAUAAUAUAAGUGAAGCAUGAGAGAUCAAUAAUUUCUAUAAAAUAAAACCACCACCGUGCUCUAGAAAGAUAUAAGUGAAGCACUAGAGCAAAAUUAUCUAGCUCAAAAGAUAUAGGUGAAGCACAUAGAGUAUUCCAAUAAAUUCCGAUUCAUGUGUGUCUCUCCAAAAGGUGUGUACAGCAAGGAUGAUUGUGGUAAACUAAAAAGCAAAGACUCAAAUCAUACAAGACGCUCCAAGCAAAACACAUAUCAUGUGGUGAAUAAAAAUAUAGCCUCAAGUGAAGUUACCGAUAGACGAAGACGAAAGAGGGGAUGCCUUCCGGGGCAUCCCCAAGCUUAGGCUUUUGGUUGUCCUUGAAUUUUACCUUGGGGUGCCUUGGGAAUCCCCAAGCUUAGGUUCUUGCCACUCCUUAUUCCAAAAUCCAUCAAAUCUUUACCCAAAACUUGAAAACUUCACAACACAAAACUUAAUAGAAAAUCUCAUGAGCUCCGUUAGUAUAAUAAAACAAACCACCACUUUAAGGUACUGUAAUGAACUCAUUCUUUAUUUGUAUUGGUGUUAAAACUACUGUAUUCCGACUUCUCUAUGGUUCAUAACCCCCGAUACUACUCAUAGAUUCAUUAGAAUAAGCAAACAACACACGAAAAACAGAAUCUGUUAAAACAUAAUAGUCUGUAGCAAUCUGUAACAAACGAAUACUUCUGGAACUCCAAAAAUUCUGAACUAAAUUGGUGGAUGUGAGGAAUUUGUCUAUUAAUCAUCUGCAAAAAUAGUCAACCUAAAACCAUUCUCCAGUAAAAAAAAUGGCAUCUAAUCUCGUGAGCGCAAAAGUUUCUGUUUUUUUACAGCAAGAUUGCAAAGACUUCACCCAUGUCUUCCCAAAGGUUCUACUUGGCACAAACACUAAUUAAAACAUAAAACCACAUCUAAACAGAGGCUAGAUGAAUUAUUUAUUACUAAAUAGGAACAAAAAACUAAGAACAAAAAUAAAAUUGGGUUGCCUCCCAACAAGCGCUAUCGUUUAACGCCCUUAGCUAGGCAUAAGAUUUCAACGAUGCUCACACGAAAGAUAAGAAUUGAAGCACAAAGAGAGCAUCAUAUAGCAUAUUAAAACACAUCUAAGUUUAACAUACUUCCUAUUCAUAGGCAUCUUAUAGGCAAAUAAAUUAUCAAGACAAGCAAAAACUAGCAUAUGCAAGAAAGAAGUGAGAAACAAUAACAAUCUCAACAUAACGAGAGGUAAUUUAGUAACAUGAAAAUUUCUACAACCAUAUUUUCCUCUCUCAUAAUAAUUACAUGUGGGAUCAUAUUCAAAUUCAACAAUAUAGCUCUCACAUAAAAUUUUCUCUACAUGAUCCACAUGCAUGCAAAGUUGACACUUUUCCAAAAUAGUGGGAAUAUCAUUAACUAAAGUCAUGACCUCUCCAAACCCACUUUUAUCAAAAACUUCAUAAGAUUGAACAUUAUCCAAAUAUGUGGGAUCUAAAGUUGACACUCUUCCAAACCCACUUUCAGUAUUAUUGCAAACAUUAUUAUCAAUCUCAUAUUCAUCAUAGGGCUAAAAUAAAUUUUCAAGAUUGUAAGAAGAAUCACCCCAAUCAUGAUCAUUGCAACAAGUAGUGGACAUAGCAAAACUAGCAUCCCUAAGCUUAGGGUUUUGCAUAUCAUUAACACAAUUGACAUUAAUAGAAUUUAUAAUAAUAUCAUUGCAAUGAUGCUUUUCAUUCAAGGAGCUAUCGUGAAUCACUUCAUAAGUUUCUUCUUUCAACACUUCAUCACACUUUUCAGAUUCACGAAUUUCAAGCAAAACCUCAUAAAGAUAAUCUAGUGCACUCAACUCACUAGCAAUAGAUUCAUCAUAAUUGCAUCUCUUAAAGAGAUUAGCAAGUGGAUGAGGAUCCAUAAACUUUAGCAAGCGAAGACGCAAGCAAAAAGAAGGCACAUGGUAACAUAAGAUCGAACGGAAGGAGGGCGAAGAAAAGGCAAAGGUUUUCGAAAAUCGUUUUAGAAGUGGGGGAGAGGAAAUCGAGAGGCGAAUGGCAAAUGAUGUAAUGCGAGGGAAAAGAGUUUAUGAUGGGUACUUGGUAUGUCUUGACUUGAGCGUAGAUCUCCCCGGCAACGGCGCCAGAAAUCCUUCAUGCUACCUCUUGAGCAUGUGUUGGUUUCCCUUAAAGAGGAAAGGGUGAUGCAGCAAAUUAGCGUAAGUAUUUCCCUCAGUUUUUGAGAACCAAGGUAUCAAUCCAGUAGGAGAUAACACGCAAGUCACCUAGUACCUGCACAAACAAUCAAGAACCUUGCAACCAACGCGAUAAAGGGGUUGUCAAUCCCUUCACAGUCACUCGCAAAAGUGAGAUCUAAUAAAGAUAGUAAGAUAAAUAUUUUUGGUAUUUUUGUUAUAUAGAUUGGAAAGUAAAGAUUGCAAAAUAGUAAAACGAGAUGUGAUGUAAAUAAAAGAGAUGCAAUAUAAUAAGAAAGAGACCCGGGGCCAUAGGUUUCACUAGUGGCUUCUCUCAAGAUAGCAUAUAUUACGGUGGGUGAACAAAUUACUGCCGAGCAAUUGAUAGAAAAGCGCAUAGUUAUGAGAAUAUCUAGGCAAUGAUCAUGAAUAUAGGCAUCACGUCCGUGUCAAGUACACCAAAACGAUUCUGCAUCUACUACUAUUACUCCACACAUCGACCGCUAUCCAGCAUGCAUCUAGAGUAUUAAGUUCAUAAGAACAGAGUAACGCAUUAAGCAAGAUGACAUGAUGUAGAGGGAUAAACUCAAGCAAUAUGAUAUAAACCCCAUCUUUUUAUCCUCGAUGGCAACAAUACAAUAUGUGCCUUGUUGCCCCUACUGUCACUGGGAAAGGACACCGCAAGAUUGAACCCAAAGCUAAGCACUUCUCCCAUUGCAAGAAAGAUCAAUCUAGUAGGCCAAACUAAACCGAUAAUUCGAAGAGACUUGCAAAGAUAUCAAAUCAUGCAUAUAAGAAUUCAGAGAAGAACCAGAUAUUAUUCAUAGAUAAUCUUGUAUCCACAAUUCAUCGGAUCUCGGCAAACACACCGCAAAAGAGUAUUACAUCGAAUAGAUCUCCAAGAACAUCGAGGAGAACUUUGUAUUGAGAACCAAAGAGAGAGAAGAAGCCAUCUAGCUAAUAACUAUGGACCCGAAGGUAUGUGGUAAACUACUCACACAUCAUCGGAGAGGCUAUGGUGUUGAUGUAGAAGCCCUUCGUGAUCGAUUCCCCCUCCGGCAGAUCGCCGGAAAAGGCCCCAAGAUGGGAUCUCACGGGUAUAGAAGGUUGCGGCAGUGGAAAAGUGGUUUCGUGGCUCCCCCUGAUGUUUUAGGGUAUAAGAGUAUAUAUAGGCGAAAGAAGUACGUCGGUGGAGCUCCGUGGGGCCCAUGAGGGUGGGGGCGCGCCUACCCCCCUGGGCGCACCCUCCUGCCUCGUGGCUGCCUCGCGGAGUUCCAGACUUCAACUCCAAGUCUUCUGGAUUGCGUUUGUUCCAAGAAAUAUCAUCGCGAAGGUUUCAUUCCGUUAGGAUUCCGUUUGGUAUUCCUUUUCUGCAAAACACUAAAAUAGGCAAAAAACAGAAACUGGCACUAGGCCUUCGGUUAAUAGGUUAGUCCCAAAAAUAAUAUAAAAGAGCAUAUUAAAGCCCAUUAAACAUCCAAAACAGAUAAUAUAAUAGCAUGGAACAAUAAAAAAUUAUAGAUACGUUGGAGACGUAUCAACCGCAUACAUCGAUAUGUAUUAUAUCCAAUAAGUCAUCAGCUCGGUACAUUGUUCCGGAGAACGGAGUUUUAGUCACCUUGCCUAUGAGGCAUGGUUCGCAAGUAUCAAAUGAUUCAUAAUCAAGUGAUUCCAAAAGUCCAUCUGCAUGGAGUUUCUUCAUGCGCUUUACACCAAUAUGACCAAAAUGACAGUGCCACAAGUAUAUUGCACUAUCAUUAUCAACUUUACAACUUUUGGCAUCAAUAUUAUGAAUAUGUGUAUUACUACGAUCGAGAUUUAAUAAACCAUUUACAUUGGGUGUAUGACCAUAGAAGGUUUUAUUCAUGUAAACAGAACAACAAUUAUUCUUUGACUUAAAUGAAUAACCGUAUUGCAAUAAACAUGAUCCAAUCAUAUUCAGGCUCAACGCAAACACCAAAUAACUUUUAUUUAGGUUCAACACUAAUCCUGAAGAUAGAGGUAGUAUGCGAUGGUAAUAUUAUCAACCUUGAAAUCACUUCCAACACACAUCGUCACCUCGUCCUCAACUAGUCUCUGUUCAUUUUGUAACUCCUGUUUCGAGUUACUAAUCUUAGCAACUGAACUGGUAUCAAAUACCCAAGGGGUACUAUGAACACUAGUAAAGUACACAUCAAUGACAUGUAUAUCAAAUAUACCUUUGUUCACUUUGCCAUCCUUCUUAUCUUCCAAGUAUUUGGGGCAGUUCCGCUUCCAGUGACCAUUUCCUUUGUAGUAGAAGCACUCAGUUUCGGGCUUGGGUCUAGCUUUGGGCUUUUUCAUGGGAGCGGCAACUUGUUUUAUGUUCUUCUUGAAGUUCUCUUUCUGUCCCUUGCCCUUUUUCUUGAAACUAGUGGUUUUGUUAACCAUUAACACUUGAUGCUCUUUCUUGAUUUCUACCUUCGUUGAUUUCAGCAUCGCGACGAGCUUGUGAAUUGUUUUCGUCACGCCUUGCAUAUAUAGUUCAUCAGGAAGUUCUAGUAGCUUGGUGAUAGUUGUAAGGGCAUAUUUAUCCCUAAGAUGUUUUGGUGAUUGAUGACAAUUCUUUUGCGGACUAAUCGUGUGCAUUGAGUGUUUUCAGAGAUUCAUCCUUUUGGCACGAGACGAUUCCCUCCCCUCGGAGCUUGAAGCGAAGACGGUGUAGUCCUUUCGAAUUAUUUUGGUGGACUAGUUUCAUAGGGAUCACCGUACUAUCAAGAGGGGGUCCGCUUUGGAAAGGCUAGGGCGGAAUCAUCACGUACACUUCCUUUGCCCCCCUCCGAGCCUUUCCGCUUCUAUGAUGGGCUCGUUCCCCUUCUUAGUGUGCCCUCUCCGGUCCCAGCGGUAGUACCGCGGGCCGGAGCGGUAGUACCGCUUAUGGCUACAAGCGGUAGUACCGCUCUAAGAGCGGUAGUACCGCUGGUAGCCCCCAGCCGUAGUACCGUUGCGGUCUCGUGCUAGUACUGCCUCGAUUCGAGGGGUCUUUUUUGUGUCGGGUUUUACGGUACUAGCCGCGGCAGUGGGGGCCGUAGUACCGCUCAUAUGCGGUAGUACUGCCCUGACCACCGCGGUAGUACCGCUCUGGGCCCAGCGGUAGUACCGCCCGGGGGAGCGGUAGUACCGCUGUGAUCAGCGGUAGUACCGCUGCCUCCUGCGGUAGUACCGCUCUCUGCGGGGCUGGUGUGGGGGUAACGGUUGGAUUGUUCCCCCCACUAUAUUAGGAGGUCUUCCCCAAAGUUGACUUACCUCUUCCCCCAAAAGCUCCAUUGUUGCUCCAAGCUCCAUUUUCGCCCGAUCUCUCUCCCUAGCCAAUCAAACUUGUUGAUUUGCUCGGGAUUGGUUGAGAAGGCCCCGAUCUACACUUCCACCAAGAGAAAUUUGAUUCCCCCCACUUAUCCCUAGCAGAUCUUGUUACUCUUGGGUGUUUGAGCACCCUAGAUGGUUGAGGUCACCGCGGAGCCAUAGUCCAUUGUGGUGAAGCUUUGUGGUGUCGUUGGGAGCCUCCAAUUAAGUUGUGGAGAUUGCCCCAACCUUGUUUGUAAAGGUCCGGUCGCCGCCUUCAAGGGCACCAAUAGUGGAAUCACGGCAUCUCGCAUUGUGUGAGGGCGUGAGGAGAAUACGGUGGCCCUAGUGGCUUCUUGGGGAGCAUUGUGCCUCCACACCGCUCCAACGGAGACGUACUUCCCCUCAAAAGGAAGGAACUUCGGUAACACAUCCUCGUCUUCACCGGCUCCACUAUUGGUUAUCUCGUCCCUUUACUUUCGCAAGUUUACUCGUGUUAUAUCUCUUAUUUGCUUGCAUGCUUGUUGUCUUUGCAUCAUAUAGGUUGCUCACUUAGUUGCAUAUCUAGACAACCUAUUUUGAUGCAAAAGUUUAAUUUGGUAAAGAAAAGCUAAAAAUUGUUAGUUGCCUAUUCACCCCCCCCCCUCUAGUCAACUAUAUCGAUCCUUUCAAUAGUGACUAGAGAACUCUGUCAAUCACUAUCUUAUCUGGAAGAUUAACUCCCACUUGAUUCAAGCGAUUGUAGUACCGAGACAUUCUGAGUACAUGCUCACUGGCUGAGUUAUUCUCCUCCAUCUUGUAGGCAAACUACUUGUCAGAGGUCUCAUACCUCUCGACAUGGGCAUGAGUCUGAAAUACUAAUUUCAAAUCUUGGAACAUCUCAUAUGCUCUGUGGCGUUCAAAACGUUUUUGAAGUCCCGGUUCUAAGCCGUAAAUCAUGGCGCACUAAACUAUCAAGUAGUCAUCAUACCGAGCUUGUGAAACGUUCAUAGCGUCUGCAUCUGCUCCUGCAAUAGGUUUGUCACCUAGCGGUACAUCAAGGACAUAAUUCUUCUGUGCAGCAAAGAGGAUAGUCCUCAGAUCACGGACCCAGUCAACAUCAUUGCUACUAUCAUCUUUCAACUUUUCUCUAGGAACAUAUCAAAAAAAAUAUAGGAGCUAUAUCGUGAGCUAUUGAUCUACAACAUAGAUAUGCAAAUACUAUCAGGACUAAGUUCAUGAUAAAUUAAGUUCAAUUAAUCAAAUUACUUAAGAACUCCCACUUAAAUAGACAUCCCUCAAGUCAUCUAAGUGAUACAUGAUCCAAAUCAACUAACCCAUGUCCGAUCAUCACGUGAGAUGGGGUAGUCAUCAAUGGUGAACAUCUCUAUGUUGAUCAUAUCUACUAUAUGAUUCACGUUUGACCUUUCAGUCUCCAGUGUUCCGAGGCCAUGUAUGUACAUCCUAGGCUCGUCAAGUUUAACCCAAGUAUUCCGCAUGUGCAGAACUGUCUUGCACCCUUUGUAUGUGAACGUAGAGUCUAUCACACCCGAUCAUCACAUGGUGUCUCAACACGACGAACUGUAGCAACGGUGCAUACUCAAGGAGAACACUUUUACCUUGAAAUUUAGUGAAGGGAUCAUCUUAUAAUGCUACAGCCGUACUAAGCAAAAUAAGAUGCAUAAAAGAUAAACAUCACAUGCAAUCAAAAUAUGUGACAUGAUAUGGCCAUGUUCAUCUUGUGCUUUUGAUCUCCAUCUCCAAAGCAUCGUCAUGAUCUCCAUCAUCACCGGCUCGACACCUUGAUCUCCAUCGUAACGUCGUGGUCAUCUCGCCAACUAUUUCUUCUACAACUAUCGCUAACGCAUAGUGAUAAAGUAAAGCAAUUACAUAGCGUUUGCAUUUCAUACAAUAAAGAGACAACCACAAGGCUCCUGCCGGUUGUCAGAUAUCUUACAAAAACAUGAUCCUCUCAUACAAUAACGUUUAUCACAUCAUGUCUUGACCAUAUCACAUCACAACAUGCCCUACAAAAACAAGUUAGAUGUCCUCUACUUUGUUGUUACAAGUUUUACGUGGCUGCUACGGGCUUCUAGCAAGAACCGUUCUUACCUACGCAUCAAACCACAACGGUGUUUCAUCAAGUUUGCUGUUUUAACCUUCUUCAAGGACCGGCCGCAGUCAAAUUUGAUUCAACUAAAGUAGGAGAAAUAGACACCCGCCAGCCACCUUUAUGCAAAACUAGUUGCAUGUCAGUCGGUGGAACCGGUCUCAUGUGCGUGGACAUGUAAGCUUGGUCUAGGCCGCUUCAUCCCACAAUACCGCCGAAUCAAAAUAAGACAUUGGUGGUAAGCAGUAUGACUAUCACCGCCCACAACUUUUUGUCUUCUACUCGUGCAUAUCAUCUACGCAUAGACCUGGCUCAGAUGCCACCGUUGGGAAAUGUUGCAUGCAAAACAAAAAAAUUCUACGCACACGCAAUGAUCUAUCCAUGGAGAUGCAUAGCAACGAGAGGGAGAGUGUGUCUACGUACCCUCGUAGACCGUAAGCGGAAGUGUUUCACAACGCGGUUGAUGUAGUUGAACUUUCUUCGCGAUCCAACCGAUCUAGUACCGAACAUACGACACCUCCGCGUUCUGCACACGUUCAGCUCGGUAACGUCCCUCGCCUUCUUGAUCCAGCAAGACGUCGAGGUAGUAGAUGAGUUCCGUCAGCACGACGACGUGGUGACGGUGAUGGUGAAGUGAUCUCCGCAGGGCUUCGCCUAAGCACUACGAAAAUAUGACCGGGGUGUAAACGGUGGAGGGGGGCGCUGCACACGGCUAACAAUUGAUCUGGUGUGUGCUAGGCGCUCCCCUCCCACAUAUAUAGGUGGGAGGGAGGGAGGAGCAGCCAAAGGAGGCGCCCAAAUAGGAGGAAUCCUACUUGGGGUCCCUCACAAGCCGCUCCCCCCCUUUCCUUAUUUGGAGUGCGAGGAAAGGCAGGAGAGGGUGGCGCCCCCUCCUUUUCCUUUCUCCCAUGAGAGGAAAGGCGGGAGGAGCUAGCCCUCCCCCUUUUCCUUCCCUAGGGCUGGGCAAACAAGGGAGGGGGUGCACCAGUCCCCCUUGUGGGCUGGUAUGUCCCCUCCUUUGGCCCAUAAGGCCCAUAACUUGCUAGGGGGUGCCCGGAACCCCUUCUGGUGACCCGAUUCCUUCCCGGUACGUCCCGAAACACUUCUGAUGUCCAAAUACCAUCGUCCUAUAUAUCAAUAUUUACCUCUCGACCAUUUCGAGACUCCUCAUCAUGUCUGUGAUCUCAUCCGGGACUCUGAACAACAUUCGGUCACCAAAUCACAUAACUCACAUAAUACUAUAUCGUCAACGAACGUUAAGCGUGCGGGCCCUACGGGUUCGAGAACUAUAUAGACAUGACCGAGACACCUCUCCGGGCAAUAACCAAUAGCGGAACCUGGAUGCCCAUAUCGGCUCCUACAUAUUCUACGAAGAUCUUUAUCGGUCGAACUGUUAUGACAACAUACGUAAUUCCCUUCGUCCAUCGGUAUGUUACUUGCCCGAGAUUCGAUCGUUGGUAUCUUCAUACCUAGUUCAAUCUUGUUACCGGCAAGUCUCUUUACUCGUUCCAUAAUACAUUACCUAGUGACUAACUCCUUAGUCAUUUGCUUGCAAGCUUAUGAUGUGUAUUAUCGAGAGGGCCCAGAGAUACCUCUCCAAUACUCGGAGUGACAAAUCCUAAUCUCGAUCUAUGCCAACUCAACAAACACCUUCGGAGAUACCUGUAGAGCAUCUUUAUGAUCACCCAGUUAUGUUGUGAUGUUUGAUAGCACGUAAGGUAUUCCUCCGGUAUCCGGGAGUUGCAUAAUCUCAUAGUCGAAGGAAUAAGUAUUUGACAUGAAGAAAGCAGUAGCAAUAAACUGAACAAUCAUUACGGUAAGCUAACGGAUGGGUCUUGUCCAUCACAUCAUUCUCCUAAUGAUGUGAUCCCGUUAUCAAAUGACAACACACAUCUAUGGUUAGGAAACCUUAACCAUCUUUGAUCAACAAGCUAGUCCAGUAGAGGCUCACUAGGGACACGGUAUUUGUUUAUGUAUCCACACAUGUAUUUAGGUUUUCGAUCAAUACAAUUCUAGCAUGAAUAAUAAACCUUUAUCAUGAAUAAGGAAACAUAAAAUAACAACUUUAUUAUUGCCUCUAGGGCAUAUUUCCUUCAGACCUGUUAUACUCAUGGGGGGAUUUUGACCCCCAUCACCUCUUCUUAGCGGGUAAAUCCCCACGGAUACCCGUCCCCACGGGUAAAACUGCCAUUUUGAGUGGUGGUGCGUUUGGAAGUAUCUAUUUUACAUUUUUCUUGCUUGCAUAGUUAGUAAAAAUAUUUAUCUAUUUAUUUUGGGUUGGUACAAAUGUGACCAUUCCGUAGAGCAGAAAUAUCAAGCAGAUCAAGGACAAAAUGAAAAUGUCGAAUUGGUGUUCGAUGGGAGACGAAGAUAGUGCAUGACAACCCAAAUAAGCAAAGAAAGAACCAUUGCCUCACGAUUUUAAUUUUCAUCUCUAGAUCUGUCUGUGUUCACUUUAGUGAUGUGCACGACUGCUGACACACGUAUGGCGUGAGGAUACCGAUAAGGAUGAAAUAUCGUGGCACGAGAUUCUUUCCACGUCGAUAUCCGAUGACGUGCAUGGCUAAUGACACAAACAUGACAAACCAUAAAAGGUAAUCCGGCACGUAAAGACACAAGCAUCAUCGCACCGCAUCGACAGAGCCAGGGCACGCGUGUAUUUCAUGCAAUCAAACCGCACAUCCACACUCCACGCCAUCCCACGAUAAACACUAGCUCCUUCAAAAGAAUAUCCGAAAACAUACCAAACUCCUCAAAAAUAAAACAAAAUAAAAUUAGGUGCUAACUCUUAGUCAUUUGAAAUUUGCAUGUACGUUGGUCUCCUAAAUAUGAACCUUACAUGUCCUUUGGUAAACCAUAGAGCCUUUUCUUUCCUAGCAACCGCCGAGACCGUUUGUUGUAGGGCAUUUGGUAGUAUCUAUUUUUACAUUUUCCUUGCUUGCAUAGUUUUUAAGAAUAUUUAUCUAUUUUUAUUCUGGGUUGAUACAAAUGUGACCAUCCUACAUAGAAGAAAUAUCAAGGAGAGAUCACGGACAAAAUAAAAUCAUAUCUAAAUUGACGUGUGAUGAGGGACGAAGAUAGUGCAUGACAACCCAAGUAAAGCAAAGCAAAAGACCAUUUCGUCACAAUUUCCAUUUUUAUCUCUAGAUCUAUUUGUGUUCAAUUUAGUGAUGUGCAUAACUGCUCACACUCAUAUGAUGUGAGGACACCAGUAAGGAUGAAAUAUCGUGGCACGGGCUUCUUUCCACGUCGAUAUACAAUGUCGUGCACGGCUAAUGACACAAACACGACAAACCAUAAAAGAUAAACCGCCACGUAAAGACACAAGCAUCAUCGCACUGCAUCGACAGAGCAAGGACACGAGUGUAUUUCAUGCGAUCAAACCGCACGUCCACACUCCACACCAUCCCACGAGAAACAUUAUCUCCUUCGAAAGAAUAACAGAAAACAUACCAAACCCCUAAAAAGCAAAAUAAAAAUAAAAACAGGUCUUAACUCUUAUCCAUUUGAAAUUUGCAUGUCCCUUCGCCCCCUAAAUUUGACAGUCAAGGGAGUGAUAUAUUUUUCUUGAGAAUAAAUGUUACCGUGAUCUUAUCGUAGAGAUACUACUACUAGAUAGUUUAGGUAUCCGUCCACGUGUGCUUAGAAAGUGAUUGAGAUCGACUCUUGCAUCUCAGGGACAACUUUUGUCGACGAUAGAAAAAGGAAAAAAAAUAGAAAUCUAAUCGCAACACCCUCCAAAUCUGCUCAUCUCCACUGCCCCUAUAUAAACUGAAAAGAAAAGGAAAGAAAGGCAAAGGGGUCUGGUCUAUUUAAGAAGACCUGAAAUGGGCAAAUCGCAUCUCGUCGCACCGCAUUAAUCUAACCGGAUCACAAAUCAAACCAACCCACACCUCUCUCUGCCUGCCCAUUUCCUCUCUCCCUCUUCCUCCCCUCGCCGUGGGCUCCACCCGUCAGCCUGCCGCGUAGUAGAGACUAGAGAGAGAGAGCGACAAGGGAGAGGGGGCUAGCAGCUAGCGAGAGAAGAGAAGGAAAGGGCGCCGGAGGAAGGAGAUGGGAGAGGAGAGGAAGGCAGGGGAGCAGGCGGCGGAGGCGGCGGCCCGCGCGGCGGAGCAGGCGCGGGAGCUGCAGGACGCCGCCGCCGCGCUGCUCUCGCGGACGUGGGCGGAGGAGGAGGCGCUGCGCCGCCGCGCCGCCGCGCUCAGGGAGGACCUCGCCCGCCUGCGCAAGGCCGCCGCCAACGCACAAACCGAAAAGGUAACCAACCUUGCUGCUCCCAGGCUGCCGCGCGGGUCAUCCUCCUCUUUCUCCAAGUGUGCCUGGGCGUGGGCGUGUCGGCGGGUCGCCUAGGAGAUCGCCGCACGGGUGUUUGCUGCGCCUAGGAUUCCCAGCGCUGCAAGCUCGGCUCCGCGCCGCUGCGCUGCGCUGCUUCGCCGCGCCGGAUCACUCACUGGGGAAGAUCUACGUGCGUGCGUGGAACUGCAAUUUGGUGCGCUGUGGAAAUCUUGACUUCCGGCACUGCCAGGACGUACCCGUGGAUGCCUGGGGAGCCUUUGGGACCCUGUCUCUCUGAAUCACCGCGCCAUUAUAUGCGUCUGAUGCUGCUGAUUCAUUGAUCGUCACAAUGUGCAUGCAGCAUGCUUUUCUUCUGCUGAUGUGACUCUGGCCUCUUUGUGUGCUUGUGGCAGGUCCACGAGGACUUGGAUCGAGCGUCAUGCCUCAUAAGUGAUGGUGACAUUGCGGCGAUUCUCCCUAGCAAGGCGCAUGGUGAUUGCUGCUCUUCUUCAGCUUGAGCUUGUUAUUCAUUUUUGUCAUAUUCAUAUAUACCUCUCUCUUUUCUGAGGUUCUGUUCUUCUAAUAUUUUUCGGUCUUGGGGGUUUACAGGCACUUUUUUGAAGCUGUUAUUGGGACCAGUGAAUCUCCGCGCAAGGAAGGAGGUACAGCUCAAGGUGAAAGAGGAAUACAAUAGCUACAGGGUAUGUGUCAAAUUGUGUUAUCAUUGGUGAAAAUCUAAGCCGCUAUUCAUACUUUGAAAUGAGAGCUUAGCAUGAAGAUGGCUGCAAGUGUGUUUGAGCCACCAAUAGAUAAACAGCUUUGAAAUUUAGUUUUCCAUUUGAUCCGAGUACUCUUUUAGGGGGAAUACUAUCAUUUAAAUCUUCUACAAAGUGAAAGAUGUACCUGCUGAGCAAUGUCUGAGUUGUUUUGCAGAUAUAGAUGUUAGGUUUGUGGAGAACCGUGUACUGAUAUAGAUAAUAAUCAUUAGCUGGAAACACUUUACACUUAUUAAUCUUUAUUCCUCUCUUUUUUCAGGAUAGGACUGCCAUAGUGUUUCUUGGUUUUCCGAUGAUUCUGUUGUUUCUUCGGUCAUGGCUAUGGAAUGGAUGUUUUCCAGCAUUGCCAGUUCAGCUAUAUCAGGUAUGCUCUGAUGCUCGUUCAGGUAAUCUGGUAACAAUAUGAACUGAUGCUAUGUUCUGAAAGAUAAACUGACAGGUCAAUUUAUAUUAUGUUUAACAGGCCUGGCUGUUAUUGCUCUAUACAACUUUAGCUUUGCGAGAGAACAUAUUGCGAGUUAAUGGAAGUGAUAUCCGUCCUUGGUAAGGAACAAUCACUAACUACUGUGGAUCCAUUGUUUUUUCUUAAUGGUGAUUCAUUGCAUUUUAGUAUCGGCCAGUAUUUCCAUCUCUCAUUUGAAGGGGAUAUUAUGAUGCUUUGCCUUACCUGACUAAAAGAUAACAACAAUUCUGUUCUUCAAUACCUGUUUAUCCACCUCUGACAUGUUGUUUGCUGGCCUUCACUUGUUAUAAUUUUGUCUGUUCUUUUCAAAGUCAUUAACUCAUUAUGCAUAUAAUCACCAGUGAAGUUAGUUCUUUUUGGUGCAUUUGGCACUUAACAAAAGUUCAUUUUAUUCUUAAGGUGGGUAUGCCAUCACUAUUGUGCCAUGCUGAUGGCUCUGGUGAGCCUCACAUGGGGGAUUAAGGGACAACCUGAUUGUGCCCGCAAACAGGUAUGCUUAUAGAUCUUUCUCUUCUGUUCCAAACACGGAAGCAUGUGCUUAGCCUGUGCUCUUUUUGCAGAGAGGUGUCGAGUUGUUUCUGUGCUGGGCUGUGAUGCAAGGUUUUGCCAUGAUGUUGCAGAACAGAUAUCAACGUCAAAGACUAUAUACUCGAAUUGCUUUGGGGAAGGUAAUACAUUUUGAUAGAGAAGGGCAAAAAAACUGGUUCUUUCUGUAUUUACUCUGGUAGCUCUAGCCUAUUAUUUUCCUUAUCAGUAGCUCCUUUUGUGAAUAACUUCACGAUUUUUAUGAACUUUAUUCAACUGAAAUUAUCUUUGCACCAUCUAUCUUGUCGCAUGGCAUGUUCAGGCACCAUAUGACUUCUACUACAUCCAUUUACCGGUGCAAUCAUCUGCUGAAACUUUAGUCGAAGUAGUUUUCUUUAACUUAAAUGUUUCUUUCCGUCAGGCUAAAAGGAUGGACGUCGUGUGGGGCGAGACUGCUGGUGUUGAAGGCCAACUAUUGCUGUUGUGUCCCAUCCUCUUUUUCUUGCAGGUAUGCUGUUAUCUUUAAGCCUUUGACCAACAAUUACUCUGUUAGUAUAUACUUUAUGUGGCAUAAAAUUGAUGUCAUUAGAUUCGUUGUGGUUAUGAUUUUGUAUCACAUAAAUCUCUUCUCUCCUACUUAAAAUAAGGUUUUGUCGUCCACUCGUCCUUCGUCCAACCUUACAUACGUUCCCCCUCCUCUUCCCAUUUUGAUUUAUCCCCUCCCAUCUCAUGGUUUUUCCAUCGCUAUUUCCUAAAAAUUGCCUCAACUGGCUUGCCAAAUAAAAAUCUGUUUUCUUGGGUAAGCUAAUAAAUACUCCCUCCGUCCCAAAAUAAGUGACUCAACUUUGUACUUACCAAUAAGUGCUUAUCAAAUUAAAUCCUUUUUUUUCACACAAUCACAUUAAUAUGGACAGGUAAAUCAUAGGGUAACCUACUAGAAUGUUUAUGCUCCCAUUAUAACGCAUGGGCAAUUAUCUAGUUACAUACUAAUAGUGUAAGUGUUGGUCAAAUGCUCGUCUUAACGAAACAAAAUACACCAAGGGGUGGGAGAAGAAAGGGAAGGAGCGAGUAAUGUAAUCUGGAAUGGAGGGAGUAUUAACGGCUCGUUUAACUCCGCUCCGGGAGUGGACCAGACUUUAGCUUAAUUUUAUGGAGCUGCCAAAACCCAGCUCCCCAACUCCGCGGAGCGGGCAAGUUCCGAACAGGGCCUAAAUAUGCAAAUAUCAACCCAAGCUCAUGAAGGAUAGACUAGUUUUGUCUUCACAGUUCACAUUUGAUCUUGGCAUGAUGUGCUAAAUUUUCCUGUUUUACCUGUUUGAAUAAUAGUAUCAGGUCAUUUAUCUAGAUCCUGUUUUACCUGUUUGAAUAAUAGUAUCAGGUCAUUUAUCUAGAUUGGUUUUUCUGUGCAAUCAAGUGAGCAUUCUCGCCUCAUAACAUCAAGUUAUAAUAUUUCUCUCACAAAUGUACAAUGCCCGAGGCAAUUAUCUUGACUUCCCUUCUAUCUAUAGGUCUUUGAGGGUUAUGUUGGAUUUUUACUUCUUCGGACAGCUCAUAGAGGGAUCAUUCCUGAGUGGCAGGUAAGGAACUUCUAGCUAUUGAUGCAACCAUGAUUUAUCAUAUUGGACCCAUUUUAUAACCUAGCAUGCUGUCACAGGUUGUGGUGUGUGGGAUCCUGCUUAUUGCAAUGGCAAUUGGCAACUUUGCAAACACAGUGGACACAUUGAUGGUUAAGUCCAGAUUCAAAGCAAAGAUGAAGAAGUCCAAGAGCAAACGAGAUCUUGCUGCAUGCACGUCACCGACUCGCUCAUCGCUGACAAAUUCGGCAGCUGGAGCUUGAAAUGGAGACGCUCCCAUCAUAUGAACAUUGCCCAUAUUCAAUCAGGGGCUAUCAAAAUUGUAAAGUAUUAGUUUUUUGGCCACCAGCUCCUUGUGCUGACAGUCUCUGUCAAAGCUCAUACCCAUGUAAUCAUCAAACGACUCGGUUGCUUAUGGUGUCAGGUUGAGGGUAACUAAGAAUAAACUGUUCAUGUUUGUUUAUUUUUUUAUUAUGGACAUCGAGUGGGCUAGAUGAACUUAGGACUGCAAGGGGUAGUUUAAUUUUUUUCCUGGUAUAGGAUAGUUAUUUGCGAGACUUAGAUUGUCAAAAUCAAACAUGCAAAGUUGUAUACGAACUGUGACCCUGCCAAUUUCUUUCUCCCUGAGACCGUGAGGUUUUUUCUUGUUGAUAAGCUCUGGUACCGGUCUCUGGAUUUAGUUGAAUCGUCGGUCAAUCCUGUGCCGUGUUUGCCUAGAAGUUAUGGAUUGCAAUAGAUAGCUCAAGAUGGCACCACCACUCUGAAAAAUCAUCCAUGGGGGCAUUUUCUCAUUUCAAGCUGGCGAUCAACUGAAAUCAGAGAACAGGUUUGCUCAAAAGUCAUGUGCAUUCCUAGCACAAAUAUAGGAUUGAAGCGUGGGUUGCAUGAACAUUGGAUAUUUGGUGGGUCCACCUCUAUAUUAGAUGGUGGUUCACUUUUGUCCUCUUUUAGCUGAUUUCAUUUAGUUUUUUUAGAUGAUUUCAUUUUUGUCCUUAGUUGAGAGAAUUGGAAGAGUUGUUUAAAUUUGAGAUGUUGGCGUGAACCAAUUGGCAACAUUAUCCACAUUUUGAUCUGAGGUUGCAUGUAUAUUUUCCGCUUCAUUUAAAUGGUUAUCAUACUCGAGAGUUGGUUGAGGUCCCACGAAGUUGGAAGCUCUGCAAAUCCUAGCGUGCCACCGCUGUGACCAGACAAAUUGAUCACUAUGGAAUUUCAUUUGCCAAUGUGAACAUAACGGAGCUUUGUUAUCUCUAUCUUGGGAGUUUUAGUGAAAUGUACAUGGGAGUAAUGGUGCAUAAAGACAAGAUACAGUUUCUCAUAGUCUACAUUUAGUUGUGGUUCAUUGAGCUAACCUUGCUUAUUUUGCAAUGAUGCCUAGAUUAUGCAAUCAAACAAAUUUUGUGCAUAUAUAUAAAAAAUAUAAAAAAGACAUGGUGUUCAAAGGCCACUUUAAACAGACAAUCAGAAUAAUGAAUAAAAUUAAGCUUAACAUUACAUCUGCAUUGUACUUCCAUGCCAAGAAGAGAAGGAAGCCUCACUUUUCCUGGAAUAUACACUUGCCCAUCAAUGGGGGCCUACAACCUGGAGUUCAUCUGCAGAUCUACAACCUUAAGAGAAUGGGUGAAAAUAAUGGCAGAAGACACAUUUUUACAGUGCAACAAUACUUUGUUAACCACUUAAUUUAAUGGGUACAUUGUAGUAUUGCUCGGAACUGUCAGCACUGACUUCUGGAUGAGUCACAAACCUACUUCUAUGUUCUGGGAUGCCGGCCAAGCAACCGGCCUUGUACUGGGAGCAGAGAGCACUGCCAUUCUGGUUGGCCUUCCGCCUGAAGAAGCUCGCCGUCGACACCACAACCACUGUGGGUACUGCCCACUGGCCUAACAUUUACUUGUUUUACCUGCAAGUAAUGGUCGCAAAAUCGAGUGUCAAAGAUCGACAAAGGUAAUUAUUACUCAACUCAGCAAUCUACAAAGUGAGGCCGUAGAGUGAGUGGAGUCAUGAGAUGCUUAAUUGGGGGAGAAUGAUACAAAAGUUUCAAUACCUUGACAUAUUCCACAAAAGGGAGUAGAAGAUGCCAGCAAAACUGAUAGGCAACAAAGAAGCAAAAUAAUCUGAGUCUUCCACUUCCAUGUACAAGAAUCAAGUCCAGACUGCCAUCAUCAUGCUGAGCUUUUGGUGCAACAACUGGAGAAAAUAACCCCUGGGCAGGCUUGCAGAAGUGGUUACAGACCAAAAUGCCAAGAAACUCCCCUUUCAUCGUAACCCAAUUAUCUCCAGUGCUACUAUCCAUAUAAGUACCACUCUUAACCUUGCUGUCAUCAGAAAGCUGGCCAUGGCAUUUUUCAAUCGGUGACUCCAAGUUAGGAUUUUUCUCUGGUGAUAGAUAAUCCACCUCAAAUUUGUAUUGGGGCAGGGACAAAAACUUAAGAAUGCCAGCGAUGACGUAACGGAAGGGCCCAAGCUGCAGGCGGAAGUUUUCAGAUAAUUGCAGAACUGUAAAAAAAAGAGAGAAUAAAUUCAAGAUUAUAAGGUGACUAAAAAAAUAUCAUAGCUAUGGAACUGUGGCCUAGUGGGUAUUAUCGUCAACCAAUAAGAGGUAACUAGCAUGAGUGGAUCUUUAAAGCAAAUUAAUCUGAUAUCUUCUUCUAUGUCAUCAAAAUCAUAAAGUAAUUUAAUCUUGUUCCUAUCUCAAGGAUACAAACAGAAGUGUUCAGAAGAACAUUUCAAGUUCUCAAAUAUCUAGGUAAGAACCAUGAGCAUUUCUGUAAUCCCACAUAGUUAUCAAGAUCAAAGUAGAAGUUCUGUCAUUCCUUCUCGCUCUUGCUGUUGUUUUGUAUUAUAUAUGAUCUCCAAACAUCACAAACAAAGUCUCUUCUAUUCAUAGCUUUUUACCAACAGCCAAACCAAAUAAGAACAAAAUAUAACUUUGUUGCCGAAGACAAUACCUUCCACAAGCUUGUCUAACUAGGUUAUAAUACCAAGUUUUAACACAGACUAGCAUCAUUCGAAUCAGCUAUGCAAUAAGAGUCAAUCAUCACAUGCACCACUACAGAGCUACACGUACAGAAGAAGCAAACUUACCAUCAGCUACAAAACCACAGUAGGAAGCCGUCAAACCGAAAUGAGUAACUCCAGCUUGGAUCCAUUUUACAGCAAACACAUCAAUCGGUGUGAAACCACCCUACAGAAAUAUGAACUUACAUAUUAAUAUGCAGAGUCACAUGUAAAAUAUGACAACAACACACCACCUAGUAUGUCAAAUUGUCAACAGAACUCAUGAAGAAAAUUAUCACUUUCAACAUAACAUCACAAAAUUACCUUAGCUAAAGCAGUUGCUGCUGACACAGGAUCCCUGAUGCCAAGAACACUCCAUACUAAUGAAUUAUCGGAACCAGCAGGAACUAUCCCAAUAGGAAGUUGAAGCGCCUCUUUCAAAUCGUCUCUACCAAGUAAACCAUUCAAAACCUGUUUAAUGUAUGGAAAUAUGUAGUUAGCAGAAUGGGUACUGAUGCUUCUAUUUGUAUAUAAAUAAUUUGACAGGCCUGAAAUACAUGACAGUGGUGUGUUGUUGUCCAAAACAAGUACAAGGUGUGGACAAGUAUGAGUGCUACGCAGUUCAAACUUCAAACUUCAAACUUCAAAUAACAACCGAUGGAGAUCAGCAGAAAGUGAAACAGGUUACCAGCUCAGUCCAGUGAGAAACAUAUGAAAGGAGAUGAAAACAAUACCUCAUUUACGACUCCAUCACCCCCAACACAGAUAAUGCCUGUAACGAAUGGAAACAUCAGUGAAUUGAGCAAUGAAACGAAAGCACAAUUGCAAAAACAGAUACGCUGUUGAUAUUACCAUCAGGGCAUGUACUGAGGUCAACAGUAGAAGCAAGCACCUUUGCAUGACCAGCAUACGCUGUUUCAACAACCUCCAUCGCGAAGCCUGAAAGCUGCGCCAGAUCAAAAUUCAAACUCAAAAGCACUCAGGUAGCAAAAGAUAUAUUUUACAGGCAUAUGCGGCCAAUUAAAAACAGAAGGAAUUUUUUGCUGCUGUCUUGUGUAAAUUAAGUAUUUCACAGAACUAAGUAGAGGGCAAUACACUCUCAAUGGAUAGUGACAGAAACUACAACGAUCAGUACCAUGAAACUGAAAGGGAUUUUUUUGGUAGUUGAAACCAACAUAAACAUUUUCACUUAUAGCAAAACUAGGAACAUCUUACCUUCAGUGUUGCUUGCACUUUCUUGUAGAAAACCUCACGAGAGCUACGGAAUCCAGAAUUAGGGUUCAGGAUGACAAGGACUUUACGAAUAUUGUUUUGUUUCGCAUUUGAUUGGUCUUGCAAAACAUUAAGUGCUAAAUAGCUGGGAAGUUGCUCUGUGUAAGUGGUACUAAGGUCAGAGCAACAGUUUGAUACAGUCCGCCUCUGGGUGAGAAGGGUGGUCUGCAAUCGAGUAGAUUUCCAUAAUUUGCGAGGCAAAAGCAUCUGGCCAGCUUGCGGUGUUUGUAGCUUCAUGGUAUUAGAAUACUGAUAGUAGCUUCUUGGGCGGCGUGAAUUGUAGGAAAAGCAUUCGUUUACAGCACUACAGGACACCUGCAAUAUGAUGAUACAUACAUAAUAUGAGAGCAAGAUCUAAAGUCAACAGCAUGCUCAAAAAGGAGUAUUUCCGUGCUCAUGUCAAGAUGAAAACUUAAUGCAGCACCCACGUAGCAGUACCCUAAUAUGUUUUAAUAAGAUGCUACAUUAGUCUUAGUGAAGUAUUUCCCACCACAGCACUAUGAAUCAAUACUCCCUCCGAUCCAAAUUAAUUGACGCGACUUCAGUACAACUUUGUACUAGCUGCGUCAAUUAAUUUGGCUCGGAGGUAGUACUAUACUUGUUUAGAAAGGAAAACAAUGUAAUACUACGAUGCAUAGAAAAACAAUGUAAAAUUCAGUAGGAGAAAAGUUUGUGACCAUAGCAAACUCUCCAUUUGUAAUGAAAACUUGAAAAUUCGUGGUUACACGACAAUGAUCCAGCUCCAUUUAAGAUUUAACCCACGGAGAGGAAGGAAAGCCAGCAACUAGACACAAGAUACAGAUCUCAGAGCUAGUGGUCGAAAGUCUGGCAAAUGAAUCACAUUCCACAUGCAAAAUCACGAGUUAACUACCCAAAAUGCAGAGCAGAACAGUAGAAGAGGAGAAUUUUUUUUAAAGAAAAGUUGAACUACCCCUCCUAUUCUUCCCCCGUUCUUGGCGGCCCCGAGAAAGCAAGGACAUUUUCACUCAUCUGCACGCUCCAGUUCCCACUCAGAAACUAAAUAAAUCCUAAAAGACAGCUACGCCUAGGAGAUACAACAAGGAACAGACUUAGGGAAGCGGGAGGAAGGUUUUACCGGGGAUCGGACGAGGCUUCUGGAGCUCAUGAUCAAUCUGGACGCGAGGCAACCGCACACAGCUUCAGAUCAAGAAGCACCUCUCAAGUCUCAAGUUAACGGAGGGAGGGGCCGCGGCGGUGCUCGGGACUCAGCGGCGAGCGGCGGCGACGGAGAGGAGAGGGGAGAGGGGGAUCGCGGAGGAGAGGGGAAGCACGCGGUGUUUAUUUCGUGCCCCUUUCCUUUUGUUCGUUUGUUUUCUCCUGCCGACGAUUAGCGGCCGUUGGAUGAGGAAGAUGGAUGAAUAAGACUACGAUGGUUUGAUUCUUUGGAUGAGUGGAUGUACUGUGUAGGAGAGCGAUUUGGUUCAUGUGGGUUUGGACUCGUGCACGUUGUCCAACGCUUAAUCAGUGAGAACAUAUCUUCUUCUUUUUUUUCGAGAACUUCCAAUCUGCUCGUUAACCCUCGUGGUAGUACAAAGAACACUAAAUAAUUAUUAUUAUAUCGGGUCCAUUGACCACCUAGCGACAAUUACAAGCACUGAAGCGAGCAGAAAUCGCACCGCCGUCAUCGCUUCUCCUUCAUCGAAGCCUGACAAAACUUCUAGUAGACAGUCGGAAAGUCGUCGUCCUCAUGCCCCAUAGGACCAGCGCAUCAAAAUAGCAACCGUCACCGAUGAACAGAAGUGUCGGAAAAAUUCAACCUGUAAACGCACGAACGUAGACGCACCAAGACUGGAUCCAUGGAGAUCCACUGAAGAUCAGCACCGACUGAAUCCCACGAGAUCCGCUGGAGAGACACCUCCACAUGCCUUCCGACGACGUUGUACGGAUCGCCGGAACGAAGACUAGGCGGGGAAAACUUUAUUUCAACUAUAGGGAGCCACCAUUGUCUCGCUUUCCUAAGCAUGAUACAAAUUCUAAUCAACCCUAUAAAAAUCCUAAAAAUGGACCAGGAGCCCUCUCACCGGCAGAGCUGUGGUCCACCGUGCCUCCAUGGACCUAAGGCCACCAGAGACAAGGCGAAGACCCUCGUCUUGGGACGAGUCGCUCGUUAUUUUAUUAUAAAAUACAUGCUAGGCUUUUUUGAAGAACUUGAAAUAGGGCACUGGUUCGAACUAUCUCAAUAUGUGAACUAUCUCAAUAUGUGUGCUUUUGCAUCAUCAAAAUUAUUGUAGUCCUUAGAUUCUAGUUUGAUCCACUAGCAUUGCUACUUUUUGAGUUUGUGUUGGUUUUUCCCUUGAAGAGGAAAGAGUGAUGCAGCAAAGUAGAGAUACGUAUUUCCCUCAGUUAAAAACCUAAGGUAUCAGUUCAGUAGGAGGGACACACAAGUCUCCAAUGAUAGCACCUACACAAACAAAAACAAAUACUUGCACCCAACGCGAUAAAGGGGUUGUCAAUCCCUUCACGGUUACUUGCAAGGAUGGGAUCUGAUAGAGGUAGGUAUAAAAGAAAAAUAAAAGUGCAAAAUAAAGUAAAGAUAAAUAUAUUGCAGCAGGUAUAUUUGGGGUUUUGGUUUUAUAGAUCUGAAAAUAAUAUGAUAAAUAGACCAAGGGCCAUAAUUUUCACUAGAGGCUUCUCUAUAGAAAAAACGCAUACGAUGGAUAAACAAAUUACUGUUGAGCAAUUGAUAGAAAAACGCACAGUUAUGAUGAUAUCUAAGGCAAUGAUCAUGAAUGUAGGCAUCACGUGUGUGACAAGUAGACCGGCUCCUGCCUGCAUCUAGUACUAUUACUCCACAUAUCGACCGUUAUCCACCAUACAUCUAGUGUAUUAAGUUAACAAGAACGGAGUAACGCAUUAAGCAAGAUGACAUGAUGUAGAGGGAUAGAUCCAAUCAAUAUGAAUAAACCCCACAUUUUUAUCCUUAAUGGCAACAAUACAAAUAUGUGCCUCGCUACUCCUUCUUCCAUUACAAAGCACCUCUCCCAUUGCAAGAAAACUCAAUCUAGUUGGCCAAACCAAAUCAAUAGAUCGGAGAGAAAUACAAAACUAUCUUAAUCAUGCAUAAAAGAGUUCAGACAAGACUCAAAUAAUAUUCAUAGAUAAUCUAAUCAUAAAUCCACAAUCCAUCGAAUCUCAACAACCGCACCGCAAAAGAAGAUCACAUCGAAUAAAUCUCCAAGAACAUCGAAGAGAACAUUGUAUUGAAGAUCAAAGAGAGAGAAGAAGUCAUCUAGCUACUAGCUAUGGACCCGUAGGUCUGUGGUAAACUACUCACACAUCAUCGGAAGGGCAGAAAAGUUGAUGUAGAAGCCCUCCGUGAUCGAAUCCCCCUCCGGCGGAGUACCGGAACAGGUCUACAGAUGAGAUCUCAUGAGGACAGAAACUUGCGGCAGCGGAAAAGUAUUUUUGGUGUGCCCUCUGGUAUACUAGGAAUAUUUGAGUAUUUAUAGAGCUGAGAUUAGGGUUAGAGGUGCCACGGUGGGCCCACAAGCUCGGGGGCGCCUCGUGAGCUUGUGGCCCAUCCGUGCUUUUUUGGCCUCCUCCCGAAGCUUUCUAGGUGUCUUCUGGUCCAACAAAAAUUGUCAAAAAGUUUUGUUCCAUUUGGACUUCGUUUGGUAUUGAUUUUCUGUAAAAGACAAAAACAAGGGAAAAAACAACUAGCACUGGGCACUAGGUUAGUCCGAAAAAAUGACACAAAAUAGCAUAAUAAUGCAUAUACAUCCAGGAUGGAUAAUAUAAUAGAAUGGAACAAUAAAAAAUUAUAGAUACAUUGAAGACAUAUCAAGCAUCCAUCUGAUCUACGCACGAGAAUCCUCUAUCAUUGAACAUGCAUGAGUGCAUUCUAAGUGAUUUUUAGCUCACUCUAGAUGAAUCUGUAAGGACCGAAAGUAUACCGACCAGAGGAGGGGUGAAUAGGAGAUUUAAAAUUUCGUUCGAAACUUCAAAUCCCUCAGACCCAACAGUGGAAGAAAAUACAGGAGCAUGUACAUAGAAGGUAAAUAGGAGCGGCUACUAGGAAGAGAAAUGAGUUAGCUGCAAAUGACUAAGUGAAACUACUAAUGAAGGCAAUGAUGAUCUGCUUAGCAUAGUAACUGAGAACGUUCACGUAAACAAUAGUGACACAGAAAGAAAAUAUCUCAAGCAGCAUGAUAGACUAGAUGCAAAAGGAAAUCAAACAAUAAUGACAGAGUGCUGCUAGAGAUAUUUGUCAAAGCAUAACUCGGUUGAAUGACAAAGUAACACCAAAGGAUCAACAGGCGAGCAUACAAGCAUAUGACUUUAAGCACAACAAAUUGAAAUACACUAAAUAAUAUGCCCAUGAGACAGAAUAUAAGUAGAUGCAGAUAGGUGAUCAAAGAUAUCUAUCAAAACAUGUUGCACUAAAGAUAAACUACUGAAAGUAUUACAGUAGAAUAGAAUGACCCAGAGGUGCUCGAUGGCGACAGAUGAUUUGGUAAACCAGUCCACUCUUCUGUAAAAGAGCUACAUCUGGUGGGAGGGACUUGUGAUUGAACACAUGAGCAAACAUCUCUUCGUCCUAUUCUCCUUCAAUACGAAUAUGGCCAGAGUUCGGUUGAUUUCAGUCGGGGUAGAUACUUGUCGGUGAUCUCCAAACCUUUGACAGACUUACUUCAUGAACCACAAUAGUUGCUGAAGACUUUGAAUUGGUGAGGACAAUUACUCUUCGUCACUCAAGUCGACACCUAUCUGUCUACAGAGUAUGCAGCUCUCAAGAGUAAUAGAUACAAGACCUCUCCACUCAGAUAUACUGUGAUGCUCAACCACUACCUAAGUUUCGGCUCUUGAUUUUCUCUCAGUGGAUCUUAAACUCAAAUAUCUCGAGAGGGAUGCUCAAUCAAUCUCCUCAGAAUCUUAAGCGGAGCAGCCAACCAAAAGAAUAUUGGAGCGGGGUGGCUAUUUAUAGACGCAGCCUUCCCUGAUGGGAAAUGACCAUUUAGGGCACGCGGUCCAGACAAUGGCCAACCAACACAGCCUUCCCUGAUGGGAAAUGACCAUUUAGGGCACACGGUCCAGACAAUGGCCAACCAACACAUUACCAACGGUCUGAUUUUGAGCACAUGGCAACUCUACUUGAGGAACAAGAAAAGCUGACUCCUCGGUCCGGAAGAUAUCUUUCGCAGCCUGGUUGGCAAGUAAACUUUCGAUGCACAAAGAGAUUUCUGUUAGUCUUUCAUAGUAUUCAACUAAGCAUCACAACAUACCCAAGCUUUGAAUACAUAUACUAUAACACCCCCAGUGUCAUGCUACAGUGAUCUCACACUAAUGGUGCCAUGUCAUCAAGUUUAACUAAGCCUAAUUGCCACUUGAUACAAAUCUAAGCCAAUUUCAAAUUUAAGAUAAAGUCAAAUAAAUUAUUUCUUCAAAUAGUAAAACUAAAAUGUUCACAAUAUUCUAUAAAUUCCCUUCAUCAUUGUCAUGUUGGAACCAACAUUAUUUGACUCACCAGUUAAACCCUAGUAAUUUACGAAGUGGACCAACACCAUCUUAAUGGACCAUUUAAAUUCAAACAUGUUUUUAAACUUUCAAAAUAACCCCAAACUUUUUGUGGCAAUGUCUAAAAUUGCAACACUAAUUAUGGACCAGGAUCCCUAUUUUAUAAAAAUCAUUUACUAUUAGAAAUAAAAGCAAACAGAUUAAAUAAAAAGAAAGUAGAAAAGUAAAAGAAAAGAGAAAAGACUAAAUCUACUGUGCACUUACCGGCCUGCCACUACAGUGUCGGCCCAACCCAACCCCCCCACCCACGGCCGUCUUCCUUCCCUCUUCACCGAUCGCGGUGGAUGUCUGUGCGACGUCCAUGGCCGGAUCAGCCACGAGGCAGGCAUCCCUCGGGCCCCAUGCUGGUUAAGAGCGCCCCCCUCGCACCCCGCCAACCCUAGAUCCCGAGAACACCUCCUUCUCCCCCUCAUUCCCACUCUAGAAGCAGAGCCCCCGCCGCCGCCGCUGCGCCAUCAUCGUCGUCAUGGCCAGAGUUGUCCCAGAGCUGCGCAGGGAUGUCCACUAGCUUCCCCACGCUCGUCUUCUUCCACCACACCCAUCAAAUCAUGCAGAACCACGCCGGACCGCCACAAUCACCGGUCGUCUGCCCCGUUCACGCCGUCGAUCCGCUGCCACUUCUGCCUCCCCGGCUCCAUCGACCGCCAUGCCGGCCCUGCUGUGAGCCCCCGCUCCUCCUCGACCUCCCCUUGCUCCUUCCCGUGCCACGUAUGUUGGGGAAUGUUGCAUGGAAAACAAAAAAAAAA
RNAcentral lists this long non-coding RNA (69923 nucleotides) under Triticum aestivum (bread wheat). RNAcentral's name for it is "long non-coding RNA (TAES_LNC018042)". Lineage: Eukaryota; Viridiplantae; Streptophyta; Magnoliopsida; Poales; Poaceae. The record is from RNAcentral.